AACAAAUAAAAAUACCAUUGAUAAUUAGGUUACGCUAGAUAAUGAUUUUAGGAAGUGUUUUUAAUCUUUCUAAUACUUGAAAAAUAACAACAGUGGUUUUAGGAAACGUUUCUAGCUUUUUUGGUGGACAAUUGCAAAUUAAAAAAUAAAUAUGUAAAUGGUACCAAUUUUUCUAAAAGCUUUAUUGCAGACUGCUUUAUUGCAGUAAUAUGCCCAAAGUCCACACCAGAAGAGUUACAACCAGACCCUCUUAUUAUACCAUGUUUGUUACAAUGAGGGAAUUGAACAUCAUGAAUCGUCAUUCAAGCAAGGAAAUCAAAGGUUGACAGCUUAUUCUGUUUCUAUAUUUCCCCACUAGAAUCGUGCUUGAAGGUAUUCAACCACCCUCUUGUCCAACUGGAAGGCCCUUGCCAGGAAAUCAGGAUUGAUGGGUGGAUUUGAUCCAAACAUUGAACUGGCUAUGGUGACUAUACCUGGAUUUUGGCUGUUAAAAGCGGCAAUGGCUACUGCAUUAGUGUGCCCAAUGUUGACUUGGAAGUGAAUGAGACUGAAAGGGAACACAAAAACAUCCCCCUUGUUCAGGACUUUGCUAACGAAGCGGUGUUCAGGGUUGGAUGUGAUAAAGCCAACAAAGAGUGUUCCCUCCAAGACAACGAGGAUCUCACUGGCACGAGGGUGAAAGUGAGGAGGGUUUUGACCAUUAGGUUCAUAAUCGAUACGAGCCACUGACACCCCAAGAGCGUUUUCUCCUGGUAAUUGAUCAACAUUUAUAAGAUUGACAAUUGAGCCCACAUAAUUUGAUGUGUUUCCUGGAAUAUUCAGCCCUUGAUACAAGAAAUCCUCGGCCACGGUCAGGUUUGGGUUCUUGCAGAACUUCCCAUUUACAAAUACUGCAUGAAGAAGGAAAAAAGAAAAGAUAUAUCAUUAGUAUCGAACCAUACUCACCAUAUCAAUAAAAAGAGAAGUACUGAAAAUAGCUAUAAGAUCAUUGGUUACUAUAGAAAUACCAGCAUUCUUGGGCUCAUCAACGGCAACACAGGUGUCUUCCAGUGGGCUUGGAUCAUAGGCAGAGGCAAGAAAGGAAGCCAAUGCCAUGAAGGCCACGGUUACCAGGAAACUAACGCUUUUCUUCAUUGUUAGAGUACUGUCUCCAACAAUCACAAUAUUUAUCUUUAGGCGGGGAUAAGAAAUUUAGCAUGGAAAAGAUGUUAAUUUAUAGACCAGAGUCGGUGAGUUAGUCUUUGCAUAAACUCACCAAGUCUUCAAUGGGAAGUUUUUUCUUCUUUCUUUUUUCACUUUCGAGGACAAGCGGUUGCACCAAUACAUGUUGAUUUACGUAGGAUUAGUCAGUAUACAGAUCUUAACCAGAAUAUAAAGCAAUGUACAAUCAGGUGGAGGCAGGUCCAAUUUAAUAUCAAUCUGUAUGAUCCAUACGUUUACAUAUAUAGUAGAGCUUUCUGCUCUUUUAGUAGUGUAUGGACAAGCAAAUAGAAGAUUACAGAGUAGGUGCCAGCUUGGACUAUACAAUGACCCACCCCUAUCAAACAUGGUUACUCCAUGAGACUUGUGUAGGUUCAGUUUAAUGAGUAUUUAUAUAGCUUAAUUCACCAUUCGAAGUGUUGAGAGAUUGGCUGAUGAGAUUGAAUAUGUAGCCAAGUUCUGAGUUUCUAGCUCAUGUGCCUUCCACUGAGUGAAAAGUCCUUGGAUAAGCUCUGGGGUUGCCUCAGUUCAAUGAAAAAUUGGGAUAAAUUCAAAGACUUUCUGCUAUAUGCUCACUAGGCUUUCCUCAGUUACAAAAGCUUUGACUAUGAUUUUUAUGCUUGCAGCCUUCCCUGUCUGAGCGGUUGGCUCAAAAGUUACUACUACAAUUAUUAUGGUUUGUGAGAGAAAGAGAUCUUAACAAACACCUUUAAACUAAGACUUUUUAAUUAGUCGUCUUUAACAAGCAAGUCUGUAUUUUCUGGUGAGAAGCAAGAAACCUUACAUUAGCAAAAUACCAAUUAAUUAGAUGAAGUCCUUCGGCUAAUCUAUGCCCUAUAAGUAAGGUAAUUAAGCAGAUCGAUACACUUUCCAAAUCUUCAAUGGAUGUCAUUUUUCAAAUUGAAAGGUUGAACCAUUCUGAGAAUUUUCAAAUUGGACAGGCCAUCUGUAAUCAGAUUGUGAUUAGUGUCAUGACCCAUUAGAUCUUUAUAAGAAGUUGGGGUUAGAGGUUUGUUCACAGUGGAUGUCAUGAGAUUUCUGGGCUUUCAUUUCCAUUCUUUCCUCACUAUUUCAUGACACUGAUGCUUCUCCCACCAUUCAUAUGGUUUGACUCGGACAUCUUAAUUAGUUUUUUCGAUCUCAGUUGAUGGGGGCCGGUUAUACUGGGAUAAUCUAGAGAAGCAAAUUAAUGGCAUCUUUCCAUUAUUGGAUUAUAUGAGGUUGUUGGCCAUGGUUCAAAGUCAUGGUAUCGGACACCAACUCGGUAAGUCUUGAGGCACAUGGGUCUCAACGUCGCAGAUCAAUAUCGGGUGAUACACAAAAAAUUAUAGUUUAAAAGCCCAAAACAAUUUAAAAAGAUUACAAAAAUAAAUACAAAUAAAUGAAGUUAAAAAUUAAUAAAAUAAACUUUUAUUAUAUAUAAAAUUAUUCAAAUUAUGAUAAAAACAUACCUUCGUAAUGAUUUAUAAAAAUAUAAAAAAAUUAAUUUAAUCACUUAAUAUUAAAUAUGCAUUAUUAAAGAUGAAAAUAAUAAAAAGUGAAUUUAUUGUUUAUAAUUUUUUUUAAAUUAAAUAUUUUAAAUUUUUAAAAAAUAUUUUCAAUAUUUUAAAAAAUACAUCUAGGAAUCAUCUUUGAAAAAAGUAAACAUCAUUUUUCUUAUCAAAUAUAUACUAAAUGAAACAAUUAUAAAAAUGGAGAAUUUUUAUUUGAAUGAGCAUAUUUGAAUAUAAUAUAUUUUUUCUAUACAUCUAUUCAUUUUAAUUGACUUUUUAUAUUAAUAUUUAUUUUCUAUUUUAUUUAUGUAAACCUAAAUAUUCAUUAUUAAUUUACCAUUAUCCUAAACCCAUCAAAUUUUCAUUAUCCAUUUAAAUACAAUUAUUCACCACAUAUUCAUUAACUACUUAUUUGUAAUCCUAUCAAAUACCCAUAAACCAUUCACCUCGCAAACACGUAUUUCCUUUUUUUGCACAAUACCCAUUUCCCCUCUAAAACAACACUUUGAGCUCUCUACUUCUUUGCACAAUACCUAUAUUUGAAGGCUAAAAAAAUAACCCCAUGAAGAUACAAGAGGAUGGAGAUGCAAAUAGAAGGAUGAAGAUGCACAAGGUUUGAAGACUCUAAACUCUCCAUACUUCUUCACUUUCAUGAGUUUUGAUUAUCUUCUCUUAUCCACCAUUUCUGCUCCAAUAUUACUAUUUUUUUUCCAUCACCCAUCACCCAUCACCCAAAGAGAUUAGUUUGAAUAUAAUAUUAGGGUUAUCUCAAAGUUUCUUUGUGAUUUAACAAGUUUAUUCAUGAGUCAACCAAAUAUUGGACUCAGGAAUCAGUCCAAUACGGUUCAUGAGCUCUUUAUUUAUUUGUACAAUACCCAUUUUUGAAGGCUCACAACACAACCCUACAAAGAUACAAGAUGAUGAAGAUGCAAAUACAAGGAUGAAAUGCAAAGGGUUUGAAGACUCUGAACUAUUUAUAUUUUUUCACUUUCAUGGGUUUCGAUCUUCUUCUCUCAUCCACCAUUUUCGCUACAAUAUUACUAUUUUUUUCCAUUACCCAUCACUCGAAAAGCUUAGUUUGGACACAAUCUUUAGGUUAUCUCAAAGUUUCCAUGCGAUUCAACAAGUUUAUUUCAUUAGAUAACCAAAUAUUGGACUCAGAUAUCAAUUCGAUACCGGUCAUGGCCAAGACGGAUGUAACUCAGUCGAGUCAAACUAGUCUUGACUAAGAUUUUGAACCCCAUUUGAGCUCUCUAUUUCUUUGCAUGUACAAUGCCCAUUUUUGAAGGCUCACAAAAUAGCCCUAUGAAGAUACAAGAGAAUGGGGAUGAAAAGGGUUUGAAGACUCUGAACUCUUCAUACUUCUUCGCUUUCAUGGGUUUCGAUCUUUUUCUCUCAUCUACCAUUUCUACUCCAAUAUUACCAUUUUUUUUCCAUCAUCUACCACCUGAAGAGCUUAGUUUGGAGAUAAUCUUGGGGUUAGCUCAAAGUUUCUUUGUGAUUUAACAAGUUUAUUCAUGAGUCAACCAAAUGUUGGACUUAGGUAUUGGUUCGACACCAAUCAUGGCUAAGGCGGAUAUGACUGAGUUGAGUCGUACAAGUCUCGAUCAAGAUUAUGAGCCCUGUUUGAGCUCUCUAUUUCUCUACACAAUACCCAUUUUUGAAGACUCACAAAAUAGCCUUAUGAAGAUACAAGAUAAUGGAAAUGCAAAUAUAGGUGUAGGACCUCAGGCGCUACCAACUCUCCUAAAAGCAAUUGCUGUUAGGAAAGACGCAUACCCUAACCUUAUAGUGCAUUCACCCAAGCGCCCAUGGAGAACACAAGGGGAGUUUAUGGAUACGACCAACCUUCCGAUCUAUCAGCAAUCUCCCAUACCACUUGUAGGACCUCAGACGCUACUAACUCUCCUAAAAGCAAUUGCUGUUAGGAAAGACGCAUACCCUAACCUUAUAGUGCAUUCACCUAAGUUCCCACGACAAACAUAAGAAGAGUUGAUGGACGCGGCCAACCCUCUGAUCUGCCAACAAUAGGGAUGAAAAUCCAAAGGGUUUGAAGACUCUGAACUUUCCAUAUUUCUACACUUUCAUGGGUUUCGAUCUUCUUCUCUCAUCCACCAUUUUCACUCCAAUAUUACCAUUUUUUUUUCUAUCAACCAUCACCCAAAGAGCUUAGUUUGGACAUAUUCUUAAGGUUAUCUCAAAGUUUCUUUGUGAUUUAGCAAGUCUAUUCAUGAGUCAACUAAAUAUUAGACUUGAGUAUCGAUCUAGUACUGGUCAUGGCCAAGGCAAAUAUGACUCGGUCGUGUCAUACCAAUCUAGAUCAAGAUUUUGAACCUUAUUUGAGCUCUCUAUUUCUUUGUACAAUACCCAUUUUUAAAGGCUCACAAAAUAACCCUAUGAAGAUACAAGAGGAUAAAGAUGCAAAUAUAGGGAUGAAGAUGCAAAAGGUUUGAAGACUCUGAACUCUCCAUAUUUCUUUGCUUUCAUGAGUUUAACUCUUCUUCUCUCAUCAACCAUUUUUGCUCCAAUGUUACCAUUUUUUUCACCAACCAUCACCCGAAGAGCUUAGCUUGGACAUAAUCUUUAGGUUAUCUCAAAGUUUCUUUGUGAUUUAGCAAGUUUGUUCAUGAGUCAACCAAAUAUUGGAUUUAGGUAUCAGUCUGAUACCGAUCAUGGUUGAGGUAGAUAUGACUCGGCUGAGUCUUACCGAUUUCGACCAAGAUUUUGAACCCUGUUUGAGCUCUGUAUUUCUUUGCACAAUACUAAUUUUUGAAGGCUUAUAAAAUAACCUUACGAAGAUACAAGAUGAUGGAAAUACAAAUACAAGGAUGAAGAUGCAAAGGGUUUGAAGAGUUUGAACUCUCCAUACUUCUUGAUUCGUUCCCAAUUGGUGUCUCAGCUGAUUCAUGUCCAGCUGGUGCUCUUUGAUUGAGAGAGUAAUCAACAAAAUUUAUAACCUAUAUCACUAUGCAUUAGGAUAGCUUUAGCUAAUAUAGCAUAGUGGCUCUAGGAUCGUUCACUGGGAAGGGUUUUCAACUCACAACUGAUACCAAUUCAAAGUUAAAUUGGUACUUUUUCAUUUCAAGGUUAGCUUAAGAAAAAAACACAAACUUUGUUUAAAUGAGGUUUUGUUUAAAGGUAACUAAAAAGAAAGUAAUGGAAAUUACUUAUGAAGAAAAACAUUCCUUGGAGGUUUAGGUUCACAGGGGAGGUUUCUUAUGCAAAAACAGAGCUCCGGUCAUUUGGUUCAUUUCCUCGCAUUAGAGAAUUAACAUAUAGUCAAUUCUCUAACCGGUGCUGCACAGAUGUAUCCUUUAAAUGGAUUUCAACUCUAAUUCCCUCUCACUGAUGCAACUUGCAAUGGCUCGUGCCUCUCACCUAGCAUUUUCCAUUCAAUGUGAUCUUUAACUUUGGACUUCUCUUCUCAAGCUCGCAAGAGAUAACUAACGGAUGUCUCCUUGGAGUCCAAAAGCUUACCAAGUGUUGGCAAUUCUAGAAAAUCCUACCUCCAAGUCACUUCCCAAAAGCCCGCAAGAGAUAAACAAGUGCAUCUCCAUGGACGGAGAUCACGUGCCUUACCAAGUGUUGGCUUAAGUGAAUUGAAGGUAUUUUAAGUUAACUAAAAACAUAUAAAUCAUUAAAGGAUCACACUUUCUCUUCAUUAAUGACUGAAACCACAAAGCUACUAAUUCUUGCACUUGGAACCUUUCCCGGCAACCUUAACUCCAAGGAACUAAAAGUCUAGCCACUCAUUCUAUGAGGAAACUUCCUCAGAGCUUGUUUGGCUAGUAAGAAAACUAACGAGAAAACAAUUAUAUGAAGGAAAAACAGAGCAAGUGCUCUAUAAAAUAUAUUUCUUUUUUCUGCCGAUUACAUAAUAUAUCUUUGUAAAGAAAAUUACAAACUAUAUAUAUGAGGUUAUUCACCCUUUGUACUUACUUAAAGACUAAGGAAUCCUAUGAUAGGUGGGUUACAAGGAGACUUUGGGAGGUGGGUUACAAGGAGACUUUGGGGAUUUAGACAACAAAUAUUUAAAGCAAAAUAUCUCAGGAUGUCGGUCGGAAAUAUCAAGAAGCUUCAGGAGAACACCGUGGCACUGUAUACUGAGAGAAAAACUCUCCUGGUAAGCGCUAUCAGAGGAUCCGGAUAAGUUUGACCGGAGAAGUUGAAACGUCCUCCUCUCCCAUCCGGCUGCGAGAUAUCCAGAUGUAAAAUGUCGGCGCACAGAAUUCCGGAUGUGAAAUGUCGACGCACGGAAUUCCUCCCCUGGUGGACUAAGCUAUGUUGCGCAAGGGGGACCGUCUGCGUGUGCAAGGUGUAGGGACCCCUCUCCCGGAUGACACGGAAUGCGCAAGGCUAUCCGGAUCAACUCCAUCCGGAUUCCCCAAGAGGACAUGUGGCGUGCUCCCCUAUUCAGACUCCCUCAGGUUGAAGCACACAGCACUCGUGAUCAUCACACCCGGACGAUAGCAUAUCCUAUCCGGAUAUGUUGUCCGGAUCAUUGACUUCCGCCGUCAUCCGAUGGUGUGUCCGGACAUCUUUUACUCCUUGCAUUCCAGAUUUGCUUAUGGAAAAGAACCUCAAAGCUUUGGUUCUUCAUAUUUCUGAGCUUUCCAUUGCUUUGCCAUGGAUUCCAAAGAACUCUCCUCAAUCACGGAUUGCUUUGGUGAUAAAAAAGCUAUCAAAACACCAAAACUUAACACAAUUUGAUUAGAAUUGAUUGCAAGGGUCCUUAAUAUGUUAAUUGGGUUAAAAUGUGAUAACUACUACUCAAAAGUGUUUAAAAGAGUUUAUUACAAGCUAUCAAAUAGCACUUUUUGAGUAGUAAUCACUUCUUCACUACCAUGGGUUUCGAUCUUCUUCUCUCAUCCACCAUUUUCCCUCCAAUAUUACCAUUUUUUUUCCAUCACCCAUUACCCGAAGAGCUUAGUUUGGACAUAAUCUUAGGGUUAUCUCAAAGUUUCUUUGUGAUUUAACAAGUUUAUUCAUGAGUCAACUAAAUAUUGGACUUGGGUAUCGGUUCGAUAAUAGUCAUGGCCUAAGAUUUUGAACCCUUUUUUAGCUCUCUAUUUCUCUGCGCAAUACCCAUUUUUGAAGGCUCACAAAAUAACCCUACAAAGAUAUAAGAUGAUAGAGAUGCAAAUACAGGGAUGAAGAUGCAAAGCGUUUGAAGACUCUGAACUCUCCAUACUUCUUCACUUUCAUAGGUUUCGAUUUUCUUCUCUCAUCCGUCAUUUUAGCUCCAAUAUUACCAUUUUUUUGCAUGACCUAUCACUCGAAGAGCUUAUUUUGGACAUAAUCUUAGGGUUAUCUCAAUUUUUUAUUUUAUUUUUGUGAUUCAACUAGUUUAUUCAUGAGUUAACCAAAUAUUAAACUCGGGUAUUGGUCUAGUACCGGUCAUGGUUGAGGCGGAUAUUACUCGGCCGAGUCGUUUUGAUCUCAACUGAGAUUUUGAACCCCAUUUAAGUUCUUUAAUUCUUUUCACAAUACCCAUUUUUGAAGGCUCACAAAAUAACCCUACGAAGAUACAAUAUGAUGAAGAUGCAAAUAUAGGGACGGAGAUGCAAAUGGUUUAAAGACUUUGAGCCCUCCAUAUUUUUUCACUCUCAUGGGCUUCGAUUUUCUUCUCUCAUCCACCAUAUACGCUCCAAUAUUACCAUUUUUUCCAUUACGCAUCACCCGAAAAGCUUAGUUUGGACAUAAUCUUAGGGUUAUCUCCAAGUUUCUUUUUUAUUCAACAGGUUUAUUCAUGAGUCAACCAAAUAUUGGACUUGGGUAUUAGUUCGGUAUUGGUCAUGGCCGAGGUGGAUAUGACUUGGCCGAGUCGUACCGGUCUUAAUUGAGAUUUUGAACCCUAACUGAACUCUCCAUUUAUUUGCACAAUACCCAUUUUUUUAAGGCUAACAGAAUAAGCCUACGAAGAUACAAGAGGAUUGAGAUGCAAAUAUAGGAAUGAAGAUGAAAAGGGUUUGAAGACUCUUAACUCUUUAUACUUUUUCACUUUCAUGGGUUUCAAUCUUCUUCUCUCAUCCACCAUUUUUGCUCCAAUAUUACCAUUUUUUUCCAUUACCCAUCACCCAAAAAGCUUAGUUUGGACAUAAUCUUAGAGUUAUCUCAAAGUUUCUUUUUUAUUGAACAAGUUUAUUCAUGAGUUAACCAAAUAUUGGACUCGGGUAUCGAUCCAAUACCGAUCAUGGCUGAAGCGGAUAUGACUCGAUCAAGUCGUACGAGUCUCAAUCGAGAUUAUGAACCCUAUGUGAGCUCUUUAGUACUCUACACAAUACCCAUUUUUGAAGUCUCACAAAAUAGUCCUACAAAGAUGCAAGAGGAUAGAGAUGCAAAUAAAUGGAUGGAAAUCCAAAGGGUUUGAAGACUCUGAACUCUCCAUAUUUCUUCACUUUCAUGGGUUUCGAUAUUUUUCUCUUAUCCACCAUUUCCACUUCGAUAUUACUAUUUUUUUCCAUCACCCAUCACCCUAAGAGCUUAGUUUGGACAUAAUAUUAGGGUUAUCUCAAAUUUUCUUUGUGAUUCAACAAGUUUAUUCAUAACUCAACCAAAUAUUGAACUCGAGUAUCGGUCCGAUAUCGGUCAUGGUGGAGGUAGAUAUGAGAACAACCAAAUAUUCAAUUUUUUUUUAAAUUUAUAAUGUGCAUUUACUACAAAGCAAUCUUUAAAAUAAAAUAAAACUACCAUUGAUAAUUAGGUUACACUUGACAGCAAUUUUAGGAAGUGUUUUUAAUCUUUCUAAUACUUGAAAAAUAACAAUAGUGGUUUUAAGAAACGUUUCUAACUUUUUUAAUGGACAAUUGCAAAUUAGGAAAUAAAUAUGUAAAUGGGUACCAAUUUUUCUAAAAGCUUUUAAACUUUUUUCUAUUUUGGGUUAUAAUGUGUAUCAUGUUAUUAACAAUAUUUUUGCUUUUAUUUCAUGUCAAAUAAUAUAAUUUUUAACUUUAGAAGAGUCACAAACAAUAUUUGUGUUUACCCUAAAAUGCUUUUUCCUCGUAUGCAUUUCAGGGUGUAGGGAUUCUCAUGGAAAAUACUUCCCAUGGCUGGCAUGGGAGUUGAAGAAUUGUUGCAUGUGCAGCCAAAGGUAAAAGAGGGAUUCAUGUGUUACCUGAAUUGCAUUUUAUCUGAUUUACAAUUUGAUUAUAUGUAUGUUUGUGCAGUCUGGUGCUUGUGUUGCUCAUUUCUAUAUGUGCUAAAUGGAGGAUUUCUUUUUCAUCCAAAACCCUAGUAUUGCAGGAGAUAGUUGCUUUAUGGGUCAGUCUUCUUACCAAAUCUUAACUCUAUGCUGACUUCUUUUUCUUUGAUUUCCUACUCUUUGUUCUGCAUAUGUGUUUUCAACCUAACUAUUUUCAUAGGGAUCAAUGGAAAUUAUGAUUUUUCAAAGAAUAUUGAAAGUAGAAGAAAAUUAAGCAUUUGUGAAAUAUGGAGGAGCAAAAUGAUUUCUUAGUUUUAGCACAUCAGUUUACAGAAGAUAUUGUAAUUUCACAUGAUGAAAAUGAAGAGGGGAACCCAGAUUUCCAAUGGAGGGACUUUUUGGGCUUGGGGGACUAGAAAUGCAAGAUAUAAGUGCAAAUAUUGGAGUUACCCAACCAUAAAUCUGUCCGAAAAACUCGCUUUAAGGGGAGGAUGUUCCUCAUACACAAGAUGGAUUUAGCAUGGGGAUAAUUAGAUCCUAGAUGUUUGUAAGACUCAAUUCUAUCCAGUUUGCGUCCUUUUGGGGCUCCAUCAUGUGGGUUCUUUCCCCUUUUCGGUCAUCUUAAACUGGCUCUGAUGGUUGUUCGAUUGGUAACUCCGAAAGAUCAGAAUAGCUGUAUCUGCUAAGAUAAUGGAUGAAAUGAUAUGCUAACUUGGCAACUCGAAAAUAAUGGCCCGUGUCUUCCUCCUAUUAGGGUAUAUUGAAUUCUAAUUCAAGAAAAUUUUGCAGUAUUCAGGGUGGAAGCAGAUCACUUAAUCUUUUGUAGUAGGGAUUUAAGAGGUUUAGGCAGAUGCUUGAAGGUUUAUUCAUACUUAUUGUGAAGCAGAUCAUCUGGAAAACUGGGGAGUUAUCAUGCUGAAGACAUUUUUCUCCUUAUUGAAGUUUUCCAAACAAACCCUUCCAUCUAGGGUGAAUUAUUGGUUUCAUUUGGCUGAGUAGGAGAUUUCAGAUAGAAGCCAUCAAUCCUGGUCCUCAAGGGUGGAGUGGUAUGAUUACCAUCUAUGUAAAGACUUUGAAAUUUUUUUGUCAUUAACAAGCAUUUGUUGAUAAAUUUGCUUACCAUCUUCCACAAAUGAAAUUAUGGUUUUGAGUGUAUAAUUAUAACUGCUUAUGAUGAAAGGGAAAAACACCGACAAAGGACUCACUGGUUUUUUCUGCACAAAUGGGAGCAAUCUGUUAUUCUGGUUUCUUAUUACACACAAGCAAAACGAUCAUUUAUAGUUGUAAAUAGAGAGCUCUUCUUCUUACCUAGACUGAAAGUGACGGAGGUUUACUAUUUUAAGUUCAGUGACAUGUCCACAUUUUCUUCCUUUGCCUUACGAAGUGUUUCAAAUCCCAUUUCUUUCCAGACAUUCUUUAGCCUUUGAGCAACCGAAGAGAUAAGGGGACGCUUUUGGGGGUUCUCUUCUGUGCACAUCAUCCCUGCAUCGAGCAUGUGGAUACAGCAUUGCUCAAGCUUAUGUAAAGCACCACUCCCCUCUUCCAAAUAUGCUUCGUGCUUCAGUGAGAUGUCUACAAUAUCCAAAACUUGAUUUGGAAAAGCAGAACACACCCAUUUCCUUAGAUCAAGUCCAUCUGAAAACAUUUCAUUCGUUGGUCUCUUCCGUGUUAUCAUCUCUAACAUCAUCACUCCAAAACUGUAUACAUCUCCUCUUGUUGAGACAUCGAUCCCCUGCCCAUAUUCUGUGUACAAGCAAUAGGAACUAUUAGCUGAAUCACUGUACUUUUAUUUAUAUCCCUUCAAAUUAGGAUAGUCUGUUUAAAGAAAGAGACAUGGAUAGAUGCAGUUGGUUCAUAUUAACUAUCUGAAUAUCACAAGAAUGCAAGCAUCCUUCUUUUUCAUUUAGAUGUAAAUGCUUCUCAUUGGAAAAGCGAUUAGGAAACUAUCUGAAUAUCACUGUACUUAAAGAAAAGCGGGAGAAUAACCAACAAGACAUACCAUGUUGUUAAACAAAUUUAUCAUAAUGGUAUAUGAGGAAACACACAAAACCCUAUUUUUUCUUCUCGACUUCUAUCCUAUUAUUAACAGUUAGUUCUCUAGAAUAUAUGACCAUUGGGUAGGCAGUCAAAUGAAUGAAAACUAGACUAGUUUGAAGUUCAUGUGAGAUGAAAGAUUGGCAUUCAUGAUUAAAAGUAAUUAUCUAGUCUGAUAACUUAUCAUUUACUUCUCAGAUUUGAAGGUAGGUCGCUAACUUUUCCAAGAAGAUUCAAAGGGAUUAUGAAGCAUAGGAUUGAAGAUUUAUAUAAGGUAAUCAAAUGCAUACCUGGGGGGAUAUACCCGACAGAUCCUCGUAGAAAAGCAGUUGUGGUAGUAACAUGUCCUCUUGGUUUGUCACCUGAAAUGAGCUUUCCAAUACCAGAAUCUCCUACAUGAGCCACCAUAUCAUUGUCCAAAAGAACAUUUUGUGGUUUCAGGUCACAGUGUACAACUUGAACAGGACAACCCUCAUGAAGAUACUCCAAGCCAUUUGCAACAUCUAUUGCUAUUCCCAUUCUUUCCCUCAAUUUUAAUUCACUACCUCCUUCAUCUGACCCACCAGGGUAAAGAUGCUGUUCCAAGUUCCCAUUGCCUAUAUACUCGAGAACAAUAGCCUUGAAUCCUGAAUUCCAGGUCGAUCCUAUCAUUCUAACCAGAUUCCUAUGUCUAAUUUCAGACAGUAUUUGACACUCCCUUUUAAAACUUCUGUAACCCUGAACACGCUCUUCUUGCAGAACCUUAACUGCCACAACAGUUUUUCCAUCAUUGAUGAUAGCUUUAUACACCCUACCAAAACUUCCUUCCCCUAAUAGAUUAGCCUCAUCAAAACCGCCAGUAGCAAUUUCGAUUUCCCUUUCAGUUAAAGUUUGGGUUCCAUGAUGGGUUGGGGAAUACAUUAGAAUUGCAGUCUCCGCACCUGCACUCCUAUUUUUGAAGAAGAAACGACGAACAGUGAGGGCGAUCAGCACAAAGAGAAGCAGAGAACAAGUUAAUAUUGCAAACAGGUAAUAAAUCCAUUUCCUUUUCUUGUGCUUUUGUUUCAGAAUUUCACAUGGAUGGAGACCCAUAAGUUUGGUGCCACCACAGAGCCCCAUAUUCCCCAUGAAUGAGCUGCUUCCUAGAUUUUUAUACCUCCCACUAUUUGGAACCUCUCCUGUUAAUCUGUUAUACGAUAAAUUGAGAUUCUUGAUCUUCUGGCUGUCACCAAUCCAGAUUGGAACAUUUCCUGUUAAAUUAUUGAAAGCCAAGUCCAGAUAUCCUAGAUCAAUGAUUUGCUUCAGGGACUCUGGGAUUGUACCUUCAAGCAUGUUGUGAGAGAGGUUCAGAUACUCCAUUGAAAUGCAUCUUCCAAUCGAACUUGGUAUCACUCCGAAGAAUUUAUUCGCUGACAAGUCAAUUGCCAGCACAGAUGCCAGAUUUCCAAUACUAGCAGGUAGUUCUCCUUCAAGAUUGUUGUUCGAAAGGUUGAGUGAAAGAGCCAGGUUUGAGAAAUGACCAAUUUCUGUGGGAAGAGACCCUUGUAAGUUGUUAAAAGACAAAUCAAGAAGCAUUAGAAGAGAACAUUGGGUGAGUUCGAUGGGAAUUUUCCCUGUGAGGUGGUUGUGAGACAAGUAAAGAUAUCUCAACUGUGACAGAUUACCAAGAGAAGAUGGGAUUGUCCCACUAAUCAAAUUAUCACUAAGUUCCAGUAAACCAAGGUUAGCCAUCUGCCCAAGUUCAUCUGGAAUUGGCCCAAGAAGUUUGUUUCUUCCCAAGUGUAAUCUCUGCAACUGCCUAAGCUUCCCAAUUGUUGCAGGAACUCCAUUCAAAAAAUUAUACCACAGGUCUAGAGUCACAAGGCCGCUUAGAUUUCCAAUUUCAGCUGGUAGGUCUCCUGUUAAUUUGUUGUUUCGAAGAUUCAAGUAGUAGAGAUCUUUGGAAAGACUGCCAAUUGAAGCCGGUAAACUUCCUGCAAACAGACAUGCCCCUAAGUGCAGUUUCUGUAGACGUGAACAAUUAGUGAGAGGAGUUAGAAAACUGAGGGAAGAGUUGUUGGAACCGCUCACCAGGUUAUUGCUAUGAAGGUAAAGUCUCUCAAGUUUCUUCAACUUCCCCAACUCAGGAGGGACUUCCCCCUCUAACUGGUUGAGGCUAAGAUCAAGCAGUGUCAGCUGAGAAAGAUUGGACAGGGUCACUGGAAUUUUCCCAGAAAGUUGGUUUUCUUGGAAGUACAAUCUCUGCAAGUUAUGGAGCUUUGACCCCAAUUCGAAAGGGAUUGUUCCCGUUAACCGAUUCUCAAUCAGUGUAAUGUGACGCAGGGCAGUGCAAUUACUGAUGGAUGCAGGUAUGCUUCCUUCCAAAAAGUUGAUGUGGAGGUACAAUAUCUCCAGCUUUGUUAAUGCUCCUAGCUCCUCUGGAAUCCUUCCUGUGAAGUAAUUAACUUGCAAUUCUAAAUCUGUCAGCUUUGUCAGAUUCGAAAGAAACGAUGGUAUAGCUCCAGUGAGGCUGUUCUCAGAGAGACAAAGGUAUGUCAAGUUUGUCAUUUGGCCUAGUACAGCAGGAAUGCUUCCAGUCAGAUUGUUAUAGUCCAAGUCUAUUGUCUCCAGGCUCCAGCAGCCUUGUAUUGAGGCUGGAAUAUUGCCCCCAAGCUUAUUACCACUCAUGUUUAUGAAUGUUAACUCAGAAAGCUCUCCAAUGGUAGCUGGGAUCUCUCCAUACAAGCUGUUGGCUUGCAAAGAGAGGGUGGUGAGAUGGGAUAGAUUGGAUAUGUAUGGUGAGAUAACUCCCUGUAAGCGCAUGUUUAUGAGCUCAAUGGCUAUGACCCGGUUCUUAAGUUGCUGGUGGCAUGUAAUCCCUGUCCAGUUGCAGAAGAACCUGGUUUCAUUCCAAUCUUGGAGAUGACCAUCUGGAUCACCUGUUAUGCCUUGUUUGAAUUUGAGCAGAGAUUGACAAUCAGUGGAGUUUUUGCAGAGGAAUGUGGAAGUUGAUAGUAGAGCAAGACAACUAAGAGAGAAAAACACUGCCACAGCAACGGGAUUGUUCUGAUUGUAUGCCAUUCUCUCUCUCUCUCUCUCUCAGUGUGUGUGUACAGCUUUUGGAAUUCGAUGUUAGAUUUCAGGCCAAAAGUUUUUUUUCUCACUUGUUAGGUAAGAUGGGAUGAACAAUCAAUUUUCUUAAAAGUUUAAACUUAACGUGUAUCAUACUUUUCAACACUCGACGGGAUCAAUGGUAGAAGUUUAAAUAGAUGGGCUCAGUUGCUCAAAUGGUUCAGACAACUUGGCCUAGUGAGGGGCAGGUGGUGAGCCCUCAUUUAUCACUGGGACCAUAGAGCAAGACUUUUUGGUAUUGCCAUCACCUGUCUUAACUUCAUUCAACCUCUUCAAUGCUGUUUGACAUUUUCUUCCGUGACAGAAUUAAUAGCUAUGCAGUUUCCCAAAAUUUGCUCCGAACCCAUUGUCAUUUUUUUUUCUUCAUAUUUUAUAUUUUGUAUUUAUUUAUUUUUAUAUUAUUAUCAUUUAUUAUUUAUUUUAUUUUUCUUUCUUUUUCUUUUAUUUAUUUUAUUUUCUUCUUCCUUUCUUCCUCCAUGCAUGCACUACCAUUGUCACUUUUUUCUCUUUCUAAGGAUUUGCAAUUGACUCUAUUGAUAUUUUGUUGGUUGAGCAUGGAUUUAUGACUUAUAACACACACAUGGAAGGUUGAAUUUCAUGAAAGAAAAUGAGGGUUAGAAAAAUAAUAAAUGGGAAACAUUGAGCUUAUUGUGGGUUUGAUUUGGUACAAAUUCUUUUGUAUAUAUCUACUUGGGUAUACAAUUGAAUAUUUAAUUUAGGAAAAUUCAAAAAAUUGUUUUCAAUGAAAUUAAAAAAAAAAAUUAAUAACAAUUGCCUGGAAAUUUAUUUAUUUAAUAAACAUUGUUUUGUCAAUAAAAUUGUCAUCAAAGUUAAUUUUUAAUAAAAUUAUCUAAAAAAGUGAAUUUAUAAAUGAAAUUCUAUUUCCUUAAUUUAAAUGGGAUAAAAAGUAAUUUUUGUAAAUUAAAGUCUUAAAUAAUUUUUUCAUAAUAAUAGAACGAGAAUCUUUUUAGCAAAUUGAACUUAUACAAAUUAUUUUCUUUUCGUAAAUAAAGUUUGUAAAGAAAUUAUUUUCUUUAUAAAUAAAAUCAAAAUGAAAUAUUUUUACAACUAAAAGAAUAUUUAAUUGAGCAAGUGAUGAACUAUUUGCUUGUUUAAGUAACCUUUUGAAAUGUUCCCUCAGCAUAAUGGUAGUACAAUAAGAGGGUUUAUUAUGUACUUCUUUCUAUAUGGACUUUGGGUAUAAUAAAAACAAUGCUUUCUCUCUCUCUCUCUCUCUCUCUCUCUCUCUCUCUCUCUCUCCCCCUAGUCCACAGGUUUACACCCUCAGCUUUACCCUGGACUAAGUCCUGAAACCCAAAGAUUAUGCAGAAUCAAACUCUUAAAGUCUACAGCAUGAGUUGAAGAAAAAAGGAUGAGUAUUUAAUGUAGUAGUUGAGGAAUGAUUCAAUGUUUGAAAUAUAAAAAAUGCAAUCCAUUGAACACUUAGCUGGACUAUCUGCUUAUUGUAUACAUAAAACAUAGACUAAUCCGAAGACUUCUAUGUUAUAACUUUAGAAUUUUCAUAUCCAAGGUUUUCACUUCUUUCUCAUCAGAAGACAAAGAUUGUAACUGUUGCAGAAAACCUAACAACCUAGUUUAUUUGUUAAGGUCCCUUUCUCUCAUAAGACAUAAAUAUAUUCACUAUCAAACACCAUAAUGAUAAUAAUAAUGAUCUUCUUUUUGCUGUAUAUACACUACUUUAGAGUUUGUUCAAUGUUUGGUUACCAAGAAAACAGAAGGACUGAUCUGCUGCAUUAAAAGGUUAAGUAAUCCUGAAUACUUUCACUUCAUUUUGCCAUAUGUAGUUCUUCCAUUAGCUAGCCAUUUGGAACUAAAUCUUGUGGAGAACUUUUCAUAUUGGAGAUGGAUAUGAAAUUGGAUCUGCCUCCACCUCAUUGAACUUCACUUUCAACAUAUGCAUUGAGAAUAUUUAAGUUAAGAUCAGUAUACUAACUAACCCUACAUAAAUUAACAUGUAUUGGUGAAAACACUUAUCCUUGUAAGUGAGAAAGCAAAAAAAAAAAAAGAAAAAAAAAAAAGACCUACCCAUUGAAGACCAUCUAUAAAUUGACAUGUUUCUCAUGCAAAAAUUUUCACCCCUCACCUAAACACAAAGAUUUGUGAUUGUUUGGAGACAGUACUCUAACAAUGGAGAAAGGUGUUAGUUUCCUAGUAACUGUGGCCCUCAUGGCAUUGGCUUCAUCUUUUGCCUCUGCCUCUGAUCCAAGCCCACUGCAGGACACUUGCGUUGCCAUUGGGGAACCCAAGAAUGCUUGUAUUUCUUUAGUAACCAAUGAACUUGUCACUAUUUUCACUGAUCUUUCCAAUUCAAUAUUGGGCACAUUAAUGCAGUAGCCAUUGCUGGUCUAAGCAGCCAAAAUCCAGGUGUAAUCACCAUAUCCAAUGCAGUGUUUGGAUCAAAUCCACCAAUCAAUCCUGAUUUCCUGGCAACGGCCUUCCAGUUGGACAAGAAGGUGGUUGAAUUCCUUCAAGCACGAUUCUAGUGGGGAAAUAGAGAAAAUGAAGAAGCUAUGAACCUUUGAUUUGCUUGCUUGAAUGACUAUUUGUGAUGUUCAAUUACCUCAUUACAAUAAGAGGGGUUUAUUACUUUAUUUUGUAGCUCUUUUGGUGUGGACUUUGGUCCUAAUAUUAAAAUAAAGCAGUUUGUCUGUUAUGCAUCUUCUUCUGUCUCCAUCUCAAUAUUUGUCUUAAAAAAUCUUAUCUUGUGAAAAAACAACUCUCAGUUGAUUGAUUAACCUGCAUGUGCAGAAUGUUUAUUAAGAAUGAAUACUUAACUAGUUGUAAAACAGUACUACUGCUACUUCCAGCAUACUGCUGGCAGAAUUGGUGAUGAAGGAAUGAACAUUGAGGCAACAACUGCUGAGAAUUCAAAAAUAAAAAAGAUGCCAUUUUGCUUCUCUAUAUUUUCCCAUUAUAACUCAUCAACCGAGAUCGAAGAAACUAAUUAAGAUGUCCAAGUAAACCAUUUGAAUGGUGGGAGAAGCAUAAGUGUCAUGAAAAUUGUGAAGAAAGAAUGGAAAUGAAAACCCAGAAAUCUUAUGACAUCUACUGUAGACAAAUUAAUGUCUUAAAUAAUCUUUUCAUAAUAAUAGAACGAGAAUCUUUUUAGCAAAUUGAACUUAUACAAAUCAUUUUCUUUUCAUAAAUAAAGUUUAUAAAGAAAUUAUUUCCUUUAUAAAUAAAAUCAAAUUGAAAUAUUUUUGUAAAUAAAGUUCUAAAAAUUCAUUCUUUUUCUAGUAAAAGUAAGUCAAAAUAAUUUUUAUUGUCAAAUUGGAAUUUUUUGAAUAAAUUCUAUCCAAAUAAAAUUCAAUCAAAUCAUUUAUUGGAAAUAAAUAAAUAAAUUAAAAUCUUGAAAAAGUAAUAUUUAAAAUAUCUUUUUGUAAUCAAUUUAAUAAAUCGGGGUGUAUAAUUCUAAUGUCAUUUAUUUUGUACAUUUUUGUAAUUUAAUUUUAUAAUUAUUUUCUUGUAUAUUAAUUUGUGUCUUUAAUCUUGAUAUUCAUGAUUGAUCAAUUAACUGUCAUAAUUCAUUUUGUUUGUUUAGUAAAGAUUGUUAGUAUACAUGCUUAGAGGGGUAUUACCACUUAUUAUUGUACCUUUCUGAUAGACAACUUGACCCUUGAAUAUAGACUUGAUUUUACAGACAUGUCUUUUCUAAAUGAGGAUUUAUACAAAAUUUUCUUUCUUAUUUUAUUUUCUCUUUUAAAAAAUAAAUUAAAAUAAGUGGCAAUCCUAAUUUUUUUAUAUAAAAAAAAAAAAUCAAAAUUUCACAAUAAAAAUGAGUCUCACUGUCGAGUGGGAACACACGCAAAAAAUACGGGUCAACAUGUAUCCAAUUGAUUGGGGUCAAUGUCAAGAUGUAUGAUAAAGAUGCAAAAUUUGAAUAUGAAUCCUACCAUUGAUUGAAUCUUGAACUACCUGAUACUGGUUGUAACAAGUGAGAUAAGUUGCUAAGGUUUGCAUUGAAAUCCUCAAUUGAAAGUUACUAGUCAUCCAAAUAUGUAUAUAAAUCAAAGUGCACACAAUUGAUUUUCUUUCUCUUCUAAAUCCAAGAAAUCAACCUCCUUAAGCAAAAGACCUUAGAAUUCUUAGAGUGUGUUUGAUAGUGAUUUUAGGAAGUGUUUUUAACUUUUUUAAUAAUUGAAAAAUAAGAAUUUUGAAGUGUUAAAAAUGUUAGAAACGCUUCCUAAAAUCACUAUCAAACGCACUUUUAAUGUAAUUUGCUCUAUGUACCACUUGAUGUGGAUGUUAAGAUUGAUAUCCUUGGUCAUUGCCUAUAAUCCUAUAUCUAUAAUAGCAAGAAGACAUACAUUGAAACAUGAAUACCCUUUCACUAUGUUUGGUUUAUGGAAAAUACUAAGAAAAGAAAAUGUUCUGAAAAAUGUUUUUCUUAUAUUUAGUUUUAUUAUGAAAAAUAAGAAAAAAAUAAAAUAUAAUUAUAAUUAAUUAAAAUUUUAUGUAUUUUAAAAUUAUUUAAUAUUUAUAUAAUGAAGGAAAAUAAAUGAAACAAGCUUGAAAAAGUAUAUAAAAAUAAUUUAUUAAUUAUAACUUGUAUGCGACUAUUUUGUACUUUAAUCCCGUUUUUCUUUUAUUCUCUUGUAGGUACCUUGAUUUUAUAUAUUUGUAUCUUUAUUCGAUGAUUUAGAUUUCAUAUAUUUGUAUCUUUAAUUGAGAUUGCAAGAUCCGUACGGAUUCAGAUUAGGGAUGACAACGGUAUGGGCUUGAGGCAAGUUACUCAUAUCCCAAUCCAUUAUAUUUAUUCGUAUAUGUUAUCAUCCCCACCAAAAAAAGAAAUUAAAUGGGAAUAGGAAAUUCUCAUGCCUACCCCAUGCUAUCCCAUUAUUUAUUUAUUUAUUUUUCAAUUUUUAUUUCUAAAAUUUUAAGAAAAUUAAUAUUUUAAAUAUGUUAAAAAAAUUGAAAACUGAAAAAAGAAAUCAAUUAAAGAACUUUUUAUUUAACAUUAUACAUAAUUAGGCUGAGGUAGGAUGAAACAAACUCAUACCCAAAAUCACCCUGAAUCAAUCUUGGGUUUUUAAAAAUUUCUCAAAUUCAAGAUGAGACAAAAUCAUAUCCAAAACUAUCUCGAAUCCAUCCUAGAUUUUAAAAAUUUUCUCUAAUUUAUCUAAACUUUAUAUCAUUAUCUCAAAACGAGUACAUUAAGGGUAUGACAAGUACUAAAAAAAAAUUGGUAUAUUGUCAUCCCUAAUCAAGAUCCUAAAAUUUUUCUUUAUGAUAAUGAAAACAACAAUCAUAGUCGUCAUCUCUCUAUCAGUGUACUUUUUAGGUUUGAUCGAAUACACCUUAUGUGUUGCCUUUGGGGCAACCUAGCUCUCUCAAUCAUUGUCUAAAGUUCGGGUGUUUGUUUGUUUUAAUUUUUUUCGACUUUUUUUAAUACUAAAAGUAACUUAAUGACUUUUUUUUAACUUUUUAGUACUUAAUAAAAAUAAAAUAUUAAAAAACCAAAAACUGUGAUGUUUAAUACUUUUAAACACUAUAUAAUUUUAAGUUUUAUUCAAAAUUAAGUAAAAAAGAAAAAAAAAACACUCCUUUGAUGGUCAUCUAAAACUUUUAGGUCAAAGCUUGAUUUGGAGCUCAUUUAAACCUAACCCAAACUUCAACUAAAAAGACCUAUGUCCAACACAAUUAUUAGAGGUGUCCAAUGGGUCAUGUCGGGCCAACACAACCCAUGUUUAUCAGGCCAAUGCGUUGGCUCGACCCAUGCAAGCCAAAUAGGUGGCUUGACAUGGCCCAUAAACCCAUGGGCUAAUCAUGUCGUGUUGUGCCAUGUCGGUGAGUCGCCCCAUGGGCCACACACUUUAAUUAUUAUUUUUUAAUUUAUUUUGUCUUAAGUUUUUUAUUAUUAAAUAAAAUUUCUUUUUGUUACUUUAAACACCUCUAAUAAUUAUACUUUUUAUUUUUUAUAUUUAUAUUUAUCAAGUUUAUAACUGUAAAAUUUAUAAAAAUGUUAGUUUUUUGUUUUUAAAAAUAAUAAAAAGUGAUAUUUAAAGGGUUAAGUGGGCCAACAUGAUGGCACGACGGGUUGUUUCCUUAGGCCCACCACGACCCGCUCCUUUGGGCCAUGCCGGCCUGACUCGAUCUUUUGGCGCACUAGGCCACAGGCCAAAAUGGGUGGCUCGACCCAUUGGACACCUCUAGUAGUUACAUGUCUAGCAUCCAAACGGUAGACCAGGUGAGUUUUGUCAAACCCAACCCAUUCAUCCCCUUUGCUUCAUGUUGGCCACCCGGUUCAGACCAACCAUUGGGUUGAUUUGGGGUCUUGGUUAUUUUUGUUUAAAUAAAUUGCAAAGAAAAAAAAAACUUGGUUUGGAUAAAUAAACUUAAGUUGUUUUUAAAAUAAGCUUUUAUUUGAUUUUUUCUAAAAAAAUUUAUAAAUUCAAUUUGUACAAUAUUAAUUAUAUUUAAUUGAAGUCUUAUUAAAGAUUUAAAAAAAAAUAGUUUUUAAAUUAAAGAUAAAUUAAAAAAAAUCAUAAAAUAUGAAAUUAAUAUUAUAAUAAAAUCAUAAAUUAUGAUUUUUAUUUAAAAUGAUACUAUUUUAAGAUAUGAUUGAUUUAUUUAUUUUGAUAAGAAUGAAUAAUACUAAUUUUAAAAUAAUAAAAGGGUGAUAUAGUUUAUUUGAAAUAAAUUUAAAAAUAAAUAAAAUUUAUUUUUUUAAUACGUAAAUAAGCGAAGUUUUUCAUUAUAUCUACACCUGAGAAUUUAAUCAAGGAUAUAGUAUUUUGAACUAGUUUUGAUUCAUUCCUAUAAUCUUCAUUCAGUCAUUAUGGUUUAGACAAUUGAUAAUUAAUCUGUUGGCAUAAUUGAUUCUGCAAAACAGUAUCCUGAAUUUAGUAUCGAGGGAGGCAGAAACACAGCGAGAGAGAGAGAGAGAGAGAGAGAGAGAGAGAGAGAGAGAGAGAGAUGAUGCUUAACAAUUAACAGACUGCAGACUGCUUUAUUGUAGUAAUAUGCCCAAAGUCCACACCAGAAGAGUUACAACCAGACCCUCUUAUUAUACCAUGUUUGUUACAAUGAGGGAAUUGAACAUCAUGAAUCGUCAUUCAAGCAAGGAAAUCAAAGGUUGACAGCUUAUUCUUUUUCUAUAUUUCCCCACUAGAAUCGUGCUUGAAGGUAUUCAACCACCCUCUUGUCCAACUGGAAGGCCCUUGCCAGGAAAUCAGGAUUGAUGGGUGGAUUUGAUCCAAACAUUGAACUGGCUAUGGUGAUUACACCUGGAUUUUGGCUGUUAAAAGCGGCAAUGGCUACUGCAUUAGUGUGCCCAAUGUUGACUUGGAAGUGAAUGAGACUGAAAGGGAACACAAAAACAUCCCCCUUGUUCAGGACUUUGCUAAUGAAGCGGUGUUCAGGGUUGGAUGUGAUAAAGCCAACAAAGAGUGUUCCCUCCAAGACAAUGAAGACCUCACUGGCACGAGGGUGAAAGUGAGGAGGGUUUUGACCAUUAGGUUCAUAAUCGAUACGAGCCACUGACACCCCAAGAGUGUUUUCUCCUGGUAAUUGAUCAACAUUUAUAAGAUUGACAAUUGAGCCCACAUAAUUUGAUGUGUUUCCUGGAAUAUUCAGCCCUUGAUACAAGAAAUCCUCGGCCACGGUCAGGUUUGGGUUCUUGCAGAACUUCCCAUUUACAAAUACUGCAUGAAGAAGGAAAAAAGAAAAGAUAUAUCAUUAGUAUCAAACCAUACUCACCAUAUCAAUAAAAAGAGAAGUACUGAAAAUAGCUAUAAGAUCAUUGGUUACUAUAGAAAUACCAGCAUUAUUGGGCUCAUCAACGGCAACACAGGUGUCUUCCAGUGGGCUUGGAUCAUAGGCAGAGGCAAGAAAGGAAGCCAAUGCCAUGAAGGCCACGGUUACCAGGAAACUAACGCCUCUCUUCAUUGUUAGAGUACUGCCUCCAACAAUCACAAUCUUUAUCUUUAGGCGGGGAUAAGAAAUUUAGCAUGGAAAAGAUGUUAAUUUAUAGACCAGAGUCGAUGAGUUAGUCUUUGCAUAAACUCACCAAGUCUUCAAUGGGAAGUUUUUUCUUCUUUCUUUUUUCACUUUCGAGGACAAGCGGUUGCACCAAUACAUGUUGAUUUACGUAGGAUUAGUCAGUAAACAGAUCUUAACCAGAAUAUAAAGCAAUGUACAAUCAGGUGGAGGCAGGUCCAAUUUAAUAUCAAUCUGCAUGAUCCAAACGUUUACAUUGUUUCAACAUUUUUGUAUUAUGGUUUUUAUGAACUGUGUUUUUUUGAGUUGUAAGGAAGAAAAACUUAGGUUUAAAGUUCUAGCAUAGAAGAAAAAACCUGUAGAUUAAUUGAUUUUUUAAUCUGAACCAAACACAUGAUCAACUCCAUAAAAACAAGUGGAAAACAAGAAAAAAUGAAUGAUUUUUAAUAUGUAUUUGUGUGAGAAUGAUAGGUAUAGAUUUUUUUUUGAGAUAUACUGCCACAUAAUCUUCAUCCCUUCUAAAAAACGAGAGAGAAAAAAAAAAGAAUGAUUUUUCUGUUUGUAUCUAAGUGAGAAUGAGAUAUAGAAUUUCACUCCAGACGCAUUAAUUUUAUCUCAUACUGCCAUGCUAGACCAAAUCAGCCCUUAACGACAACCACACUGUUUUGUGGGGGGGGGGUUACUUUUGUUCCAUUAUAUUCACAGAAUCUUCAAAUCCAUUCUUUGGAUUAAUCUGCAUGAGGAAAUCUGUUACUGUUAGUGACGGAAACCUGUUAUUGUUAGUACCGGAGUCAACUGUUUGACUGGGUGGGUUCCAAUCAGAUCCUAAGGAAUGGGUCCAAAGGUCAUCCAUUAGAGUUAAUGGAAUUCAUUGUUGUUCUUGUGCCUUGAUGUGUGAGCCCAACACGCACAGAUGCAACUAGGGAUGGCAACGGGGCGGGUUUUUUCGGGUACCCGCCCUGCCCCGCCCCUAAUGGGAUGGGGUUGAAAUUUAAUAAAUGGGUUUUUAACGGGUAUAAGAUUUUUUUUUUUAAACCCGGGGCGGGUUCGGGUAUUGCCCCAUCCCGCCCCGCCCCGCCCCGCCCCGCCCCGCCCCGCCCCGUUUACAUAUAAAAUCAAUUUUAAAAUUUAAUUUAAUUUAAUUUAAAUUUUAAAAUUAAUUUUAUUUUACUAUUUUUAAUAUAUAGAUAAUAAAAAAAAAUUAAUAAAAUAAAUUAUAAAAAAUAUAAUAAUUUUAUUAUUUAUAAAUAUAUUUAUUUUAAUGUAAUUAAAAAUUUUAAAAGCAAUUUUUUUUUUUUUUAAAAAGGAGGCUAAACAGGGCUGGGCGGGGCGGGUUUGGGAAUUUCCCAUACCUGCCCCGCCCCGCCCCGCCCUGCCCCGUUUAAUUUUUUAAACGGGACGGGGAUGGGAAUUAUUUUUAAUAAACGGGGCGGGGUUGGGAUGGGGGCGACCCGUCCCGAACCUGCCCCGUUGCCAUUCCUAGAUGCAACAGUAUGAGUCAUGUGCAGGUAGAUUUGAAUAGACACAUCUUGGCAUCGGGAUGGCUUGAGCAAGGUGUAGUCUCCUACAAUAGGAAGCAUGGUGAACUGAUGCAUCACAUGAGCAAGACUCCUAUUGCAUGAGACAUACUCCUAUCACAUGAGACUUCUAGUCAAAGUGGGAGAUUGAGACCUAAUAUUGCAGGAAGAGAAAGGGACUCUUGACAUGAGAAGACUCCUAAUCGGGAUAGAAAACUAAAUCUUCAUGCAUAAGGAGAUAGAGAGAUGUGGCAUGAGAGUUUUAGAUUCAGUAGGACUUGGAGUCCUACUCAAAUUUGUCAUCUGUUAAGCUUGAGUCGGACGCAAACUAGGACUCAAAAGUUAGUCUCCUAGUAGGAUUAGGAUGGCUUGGUGCAACCUUCAUAAAAGGAGGGCGUGACCCAAUAGGAUGCUCCAAAAAUGGUACCUUACGUGAUAGGAAGGCCCCUUCAAAAGUCAUAUUGCUUGUACCACCAAGACACCACCACUAAGUAUUUGUCCAUAUCUUAAUCCAUGUGUGCAUGGAGAUGAACAUAAAUAUAUAUAGAAAAGAUAAAUAUUAGAAGACAAGUCUCCACAAAGAGACAAAAAUAUAGAAGGCUUCGGUCAACCAAUCCCGCUAUGCGUGGCAAAUGUUUCAGGGGACUGCGUAGGAUUGAACAGCCUUUGCUAGAGGGAAGAUCAAUCUAUGGGCGUGAAUAAAGAGAGAACUGGAGAAGUAUUGGAACAGGCGGGUCACCUCAGUUGACCAGGAAACAUGGCAUUAGUCAACGCAAACCUUGGCUUUCGAUCUCUACAUCGGUGCUGAAUAUUGUUGAACGGAAACACGUGGCCAGCUACAUUGGUUCUAGACAACAAAGGCUGCAACAAUUAACCUGAAAUUGAAAAUUUUGAAAUUUUUUUGAAAACAUAACAUCUUAAGAUGACUGGUAACCUUCUCUUAUUGGUUGGCUCUAAAUCAAAACCACUAUACAUGCAUUGUUCAAUGUAUAUAUGAUGUAGCAUUUUUGUGUUUUGUCUUUUACAAGUUGUAUAUAUUGGAAAAUUCUGACACCAUACAAAAACAUAGAAAAGCCACAAAUACCGCAACUUGCAUAUUUUCAUUUUAUGGCUGAAACUUUUCAAUGAAUCAUUAUCUUUAUUUCAAACUUUAAAAUUUUGAAAACAUAACAUCUUAAGAUGACUCGUAACCUUCUCUUAUUGGUUGGCUCUAAAUCAAAACCACUAUACAUGCAUUGUUCAAUGUAUAUAUGAUGUAGUAUUUUUGUGUUUUGUCUUUUACAAGUUUUAUAAAUUGGAAAAUUCUGACACCAUACAAAAACAUAGAAAAGCCACAAAUACCGCAACUUGCAUAUUUUUAUUUUAUUUUAAUUAUUUAUAGUUGAUUAGGUUUAUGGUAUGCCAUGUUGGAUGCUUUCAGAUUUUACAGAUCUAAGUUACUUUUAUUUUGAGAACGAAUAUUCCAUAAUUCAACCUUUUCCUUUUCUUGUUGGUAAUCAUGAUACAUAAAAUCUAGGAAUGCUAAACACAUCUUUUUUAAAAGUACUAUAUUGUAUUACAAUAGGAAAUGGCUUUUAUCAAAAGAGAAAUAUCCUUAAAUUGAUUAGGCCUAGCUCAUACUUUCAUCAACCAUAUGAUGACAUGAAAAAAAUCAAAGAAGAAAUAUGGGAAAUGGUACGAAAAGAGAUGGGUAGUAAUAACAUGAGACAACAACUUGUUUUACAACUAGUUGUAGCAGAAAAACCAAUGUUUAAAAUGAUAGAAGAGCCCCAACCACCAGAACCACCACUGAAACACAAGGUAUGCAUUUACUUACUAAUAAUACAAGAUUAAUAUAAGUGACAUAAAGCCUAUGUAAAUGAUAUUAUUUGUUGUAUUGAAGGUAAUUAAAUGUAAAUUAGCAGUGGAAAGAAAAGAAAAUGUUGUUCCAACUGGUACACUAAUAGAAGAAAAAGGAUCGAAUAGGUUGGUUGUAAUAAAUGCUGCACACAAGCCAGAUGCUAGACUCCCAUUUCCAAAUCCAUAUGAGAUUAUCAAUGUUGGGGAUGCUAUUGGCUUUGAGCUUGACUGGCCAACAAGCCUUGUCAUACUUGAAACUGAACAUCCUUAGGUAUGUCAUUUUAUGCCUAUAGUAAAUUUGAUUGUAACUUGGUAUUUUAUUGUUUAGGAGUAUAUAUAUCUAACAUUCCUUCCUUUUUCAUAGGUGUUGGAUAAAGGAAAGAAGAAGAUAGUGAAGACACCAAUUUUUUGAAAAUCUAAGCCUCAAAAUCAUUCGGUCAUUAAAAAUUUUCAAAAAUUUGUGGAUGGUUGUCUUGGUAAUGACAAGACAUACCCAAUACAGCUCCCCAUUUCACUUUUUGGUGUCGAAUUUCAAACAUAUAUAUCUAGAGAGGAUUGUGAAUACAUUAUUUCAUCUUUAGAGGUGUCAUCAAACUGCAUCUCCUUCUAUUUAUGGUGUGCACCUUUUAUUUUCAUUUGUUUUUAUUUUUUUAAAUAUGAGUUGCCCAUGUUGAACGAAAUUGGAUAUGACUAAUGAUAAUUUUCUUUUGGUGUUUUGAUACAAUAAUAGGCACAUGCAUGAUCAACUACAUAUUGCCAAAAAGGAAUCACAAUUUAUAUUUGUUAAUCCUUUUACAAUAUCACGAGCAAGCCUUAGUACUCAUCAAACAGAGAAAAGAGCACAAUUGUUGUCAAAACGCUUAAUGGAGUGCCAAGAUGCUAAAUAUGUUUUCAUACCUUACAACCCUGAGUAAGUGACAAAUAUUAUACUUUAAUUUGAGGUUUUAUGAUUGAUUUAUAUUUCUAAUUAGACGCUACUUUUGUUUUUAAUGUUUUAGCUUUCAUUGGGUCUUGGUGGUGAUUGAGCCAAGGAAAAUGAUAGUCCACUAUCUUGACCCUAUGCAUCACAAACUAUUUGAGGACUUAAAGAAUAUCGUAAACAUGUAAGUUCUUCCUAUUAUUUUUCAUAGUAUUAUUUUUUUUUUUUUAUAAAAAAUACAUUCAUCUCAAACACAUUGAACUUAUUUACAUAGGGCACUUCGAAUAUCUACAAAGAAAACAUCUAAAAGGGAGCCAUCUUGGCAACUAGUGCAGGUGACAUCCAAAAAAUUUUCUUUACACAUUAGCUUAUGCAUUUGCACCAUUUAUAUAUAUGAGUACUAAUGUUAUUUUAUAAUUGAUCGAUUAGUGUCCAAGACAAGAAGGAGGGUUCGAAUGUGGCUACUUUGUUAUGAGAUUCAUAAAAGAGAUAAUUUUUUAUCCUACAAUUAUUGCUUCAAAGGUAUUACAAAUUUAAUGAAUUGUACAUAGUUUUAGGCUUCCAAAUGUUAUGCAUUUUAAUGUUAUUUUCUUAUUUGAUUUCAGUUUGGUGAUAAAAAAACAUAUUCUCAAGUAGAAUUCGAUGAAAUUAGAGAAAAAUGGGCUACUUUUGUGCUACAACUAAUCAUGAAUCAUGUUGAUGCAUCAUGAUCACCAUGCAUGGUGAGUCCUUUAGCUACUACAUGAAUUUUUCCAUAGGUUCUUUGAAUAAUGUUUCUAUUUGAAAAAAAAAAAGAAAAAAAAAUAGUUCUUAGAUUUUUUUCAUUUAUGAUAACAUCGAUCCAUGUUUAUUUUCUUCAAUAAAAAUCUAUAAAACUCAUUAAACUAUGAAAUGCAAGUAUACACUUUUGGGAUGGUGGAAUGGAGAAUAAAAAGAAAGAAGAAGGCAACAAGAUUUUGGGUUUUUAAAUGCAACUCUUAUGUCAUACGUUGUAGGACAUAAAUGUUAAUUUAAUUAGUACUGAGAAAUUUAGAUUUUUAGAUGGGACUUUUAUGUCAUUUUAUAGUUAGCCGGUUUUAUGCUUAUGAAUUGGAGGUAUACAUGAAUCUUGGGAUCUUUAACAUUUCUAAAUCAUGUUUUGGUAUGUAUUCACUCUUCUUUUUUUAGUUUUGAUGGGUUUGAUAUGUUGGAUGUACUAUCUUUUUGUGAACAUUUGAUAUACAAAUAUUAUUAGAUGAUCAAUGUAUUAUGAGUUAUUCUAGAAACAUUACAGAAAAAUGAGUUAAAUAUAAUAUUAUUGUUAUAUUUAUGGACAAAAAAUAAAUAGGUUAAUCUUACUUAUUAAUUCAUAAGCAUUACAAAAAUUUAUAACUAAAAGCAAUCAUAUCUUCCACAAUAAUUUACAAUGAUGUGACACCAUUACUCAAAGGUGAUGCAUUUAAUAUGACAUUAUAAUUCAAAGAUGAUGCAUUUAAUGCGAUACCCUCUCAUCACUAGAAAUAUAUGGUGUCACUUCCGAAUGGGUCACCAUUUAUCUACUUUGGUGUCACUUCCAAAUACGUUACCAAUUGGUACCCUCUAUGGUAUCAGUGGAGAAGGUGACGCUAUGUUGUAGUGACACCCUAUGUUUAUGGUAACUCGUUAUAAAUGUCACCAUAUAUCUUUUUCCCUAUAGUGUAUAGCUCCAGUGAGGCUGUUCUCAGAGAAACAAAGGUAUGUCAAGUUUGUCAUUUGGCCUAGUACAGCAGGAAUGCUUCCAGUCAGAUUGUUAUCGUCCAAGUCUAUUGUCUCCAGGCUCCAAUAGCCUUGUAUGGAGGCUGGAAUAUUGCCUCCAAGCUUAUUACAACUCAUGUUUAUGAAUGUUAACUCAGAAAGCUCUCCAAUGGUAGCUGGGAUCCCUCCAUACAAGCUGUUGCCUUGCAAAGAGAGGGUGGUGAGAUGGGAUAGAUUGGAUAUGUAUGGUGAGAUAACUCCCUGUAAGCGCAUGUUUAUGAGCUUGAUUGACUCUAUUGAUAUUUUGUUGGUUGAGCAUGGAUUUAUGACUUAUAACGCACACGUGGAGGGUUGAAUUUCAUGAAAGAAAAUGAGGGUCAGAAAAAUAAUAAAUGGCAAGACAUUGAGCUUAUUGUGGGUAUGAUUGGGUACAAAUUCUUUUGUAUAUAUCUACUUGGGGUAUACAAUUGAAUAUUUAAUUUAGGAAGAUUCAAAAAAUUGUUUUCAAUGAAAUUCAAUAAUAAUAAUAAUAAUAAUAACAAUUGCCUGGAAAUUUAUUUAUUUAAUAAACAUUGUUUUGUCAUCAAAGUUAAUUUUUAAUAAAAUUAUCUAAAAAAAUGAAUUUUUAAAUAAAAUUCUAUUUCCUUAAUUAAAAUGGGCUAAAAAGUAAUUUUUGCAAAUUAAUGUCUUAAAUAACCUUUUCAUAAUAAUAGAAUGAGAAUCUUUUUAGCAAAUUGAACUUAUACAAAUCAUUUUCUUUUUGUAAAUAAAGUUUGUAAAAAAAUUAUUUUCUUUAUAAAUAAAAUCAAAUUGAAAUAUUUUUACAACUAAAAGAAUAUUUAGUUGAGCAAGUGAUGAACUAUUUUCUUGUUUAAGUAACCUUUUGUAAUGUUCCCCCAGCAUAAUGGUAGUACAAUAAGAGGGUUUAUUAUGUACUUCUUUCUAUAUGGACUUUGGGUAUAAUAAAAACAAUGCUUUCUCUUUCUCUCUCUCUCUCUCUCCCCCUCAGUCCACAGGUUUAGACCCUUAGCUUUACCCUGCACUAAGUCUUGAAAGCCAAAGAUUAUGCAGAAUCAAACUCUUAAAGUCUACAGCAUGAGUUGAGGAAAAAAGGAUGAGUAUUUAACGUAGUAGUUGAGGAAUGAUUCAAUGUUUGAAAUAUAAAAAAUGCAAUCCAUUGAACACUUAGCUGGCCUAUCUGCUUAUUAUUGUAUACAUAAAACAUAGACUAAUCCGAAGACUUCUAUGUGAUAACUUUAGAAUUUUCAUAUCCAAGGUUUUCACUUCUUUCUCAUCAGAAGACAAAGAUUGUAACUGUUGCAGAAAACCUAACAACCUAGUUUAUUUGUUAAGGUCCCUUUCUCUCAUAAAACAUAAAUAUAUUCACUAUCAAACACCAUAAUGAUAAUAAUAAUUAAUGAUCUUCUUUUUGCUGUAUAUACACUACUUUAGAGUUUGUUCAAUGUUUGGUUACCAAGAAAACACAAGGACUGAUCUGCUGCAUUAAAAGGUUAAUAUGUAGUUCUUCCAUUAGCUAGCCAUUUGGAACUAAGUCUUGUGGAGAACUUUUCAUAUUGGAGAUGGAUAUGAAAUUGGACCUGCCUCCACCUCAUUGAACUUCACUUUCAACAUAUGCAUUGAGAAUAUUUAAGUUAAGAUCAGUAUACUAACUAACCCUACAUAAAUUAACAUGUAUUGGUGAAAACACUUAUCCUUGUAAGUGAGAAAGCAAAAAAAGAAAAAAAAAAAAAGAAAAAAGAGAGAGACCUACCCAUUGAAGACUGUCUAUAAAUUGACAUGUUUCUCAUGCAAAAAUUUUCACCCCUCGCCUAAACGCAAAGAUUUGUAAUUGUUUGGAGACAGUACUCUAACAAUGGAGAAAGGUGUUAGUUUCCUAGUAACUGUGGCCCUCAUGGCAUUGGCUUCAUCUUUUGCCUCUGCCUCUGAUCCAAGCCCACUGCAGGACACUUGCGUUGCCAGACCCAAGAAUGCUGGUAUUUCUUUAGUAACCAACGAACUUGUCUCUAUUUUCACUAAUCUUUCCAAUUCAAUAUUGGGCACAUUAAUGCAGUAGCCAUUGCUGGUCUGAGCAGCCAAAAUCCAGGUGUAAUCACCAUAGCCAAUGCAGUGUUUGGAUCAAAUCCACCCAUCAAUCCCGAUUUCCUGGCAACGGCCUUCCAGUUGGACAAGAAGGUGGUUGAAUUCCUUCAAGCACGAUUCUAGUGGGGAAAUAGAGAAAAUGAAGAAGCUAUGAACCUUUGGUUUUCUUGCUUGAAUGACUAUUUGUGAUGUUCAAUUACCUCAUUACAAUAAGAGGGGUUUAUUACUUUAUUUUGUAGCUCUUUUGGUGUGGAUUUUGAUCCUGAUAUUAAAAUAAAGCAGUUUGUCUGUUAGGCAUCUUCUUCUGUCUCCAUCUCAAUAUUUGUCUUAAAAAAUCUCAUCUUGUGAAAAAACAACUGGAUAACAACUCUCAGUUGAUUGAUUAACCUGCAUGUGCAGAAUGUUUAUUAAGAAGGAAUACUUAGCUAGUUGUAAAACAGUACUACUGUUACUUCCAGCAUAAGUGUCAUGAAAAUUGUGAAGAAAGAAUGGAAAUGAAAACCCAGAAAUCUUAUGACAUCUACUGUAGACAAAUUAAUGUCUUAAAUAAUCUUUUCAUAAUAAUAGAAUGAGAAUCUUUUUAGCAAAUUGAACUUAUACAAAUCAUUUUCUUUUCGUAAAUAAAGUUUGUAAAGAAAUUAUUUUCUUUAUAAAUAAAAUCAAAUUAAAAUAUUUUUGUAAAUAAACUAAAAAUUAAUGUCCUAAGUAAAAAUCAUUUUUAUUGUCAAAUUGGAAUUUUUUGAAUAAAUUCUAUCCAAAUAGAAUUGAAUCAAAUCAUUUAUUGGAAAUAAAUAAAUAAAUUAAAAUCUUGAAAAAGUAAUAUUUAAAAUAUCUUUUUGUAAUCAAUUUAAUAAAUCGGUUUGUAUAAUUCUAAUGUCAUUUAUUUUGUACAUUUUUGUAAUUUAAUUUUAUCAUUAUUUUCUUGUAUAUUAAUUUGUCUCUUUAAUCUUGAUAUUCAUGAUUGAUCAAUUAACUGUCAUAAUUCAUUUCGUUUGUUUAGUAAAUAUUGUUAGUAUACAUGCUUAGAGGAGUAUUACGACUUAUUACUGUACCUUCCUGAUAGGCAACCUGACCCUUGAAUAUAGACUUGAUUUUACAAACAUGUCUUUUCUAAAUGAGGAGUUACACAAAAUUUUCUUUCUUAUUUUGUUCUCUUUUAAAAAAUAAAUUAAAAUAAGUGGCAACCCUAAUUUUUUUAUAAAAAAAAAAAAAAAAUCAAAUUUUCACAAUAAAAAUGAGUCUCACUGUCGAGUGGGAACACACGCAAAAAAUACGGGUCAACAUGUAUCCAAUUGAUUGGGGUCAAUGUCAAGAUGUGUGAUAAAGAUGCAAAUUUGAAUAUGAAUCCUGCCAUUGAUUGAAUCUUGAACUACCCGAUAGUGGUUGUAACAAGUGAGAUAAGUUGCUAAGGUUUGCGUUGAAAAGUUCAGCCAUGGAAAGUUACUAGUCAUCCAAAUAUGUAUAUAAAUCAAAGUGCACAUUCUAAAUCAAAGAAAUCAGCCUCCUUAAGCAAAAGACCUUACAAUUCUUAGAGUAUGUUUGGUAGUAAUUUUAGGAAGUGUUUUUAACUUUUUUAAUAAUUGAAAAAUAAGAAUUUUGAAGUAUUAAAAAAUGUUAGAAACACUUCCUAAAAUCACUAUCAAACGCACUUUUAAUGUAAUUUGCUCUAUCUACCACUUGAUGUGGAUGUUAAGAUUGAUAUCCUUGGUCAUUGCCUAUAAUCCUAUAUCUAUAAUUGCAAGAAGACAUACAUUGAAACAUGAAUACCCUUUCACUAUGUUUGGUUUAUGGAAAAUACUAAGAAAAGAAAAUGUUUUUCUUAUAUUUAGUUUUAUUAUGAAAAAUAAGAAAAAAUAAAAUAUAAUUAUAAUUAAUUAAAAUUUUAUGUAUUUUAAAAUUAUUUAAUAUUUAUAUAAUGAAGGAAAAUAAAUGAAACGAGCUUGAAAAAGUAUAUAAAAAUAAUUUAUUAAUUAUAACUUGUAUGCGACUAUUUUGUACUUUAAUCCCGUUUUUCUUUUAUCCUCUUGUAGGUACCUUGAUUUUAUAUAUUUGUAUCUUUAUUCAAUGAUUUAGAUUUCAUAUAUUUGUAUCUUUAAUUGAGAUUGCAAGAUCUGUACGGAUUCAGAUUAGGGAUGGCAACGCUAUAAGCUUAAGAUAAGUUACUCAUAUCCCAAUCCAUUAUAUUUAUUCGUAUAUGUUAUCAUCCCCACCAAAAAAAGAAAUUAAAUGGGAUGGGACGGGUAUAGGAAAUUCUCAUGCCUACCCCAUGCUAUCCCGUUUUUUAUUUAUUUAUUUUUCAAUUUUUAUUUCUAAAAUUUUAAGAAAAUUAAUAUUUUAAAUAUGUUAAAAAAAUUGAAAACUGAAAAAAGAAAUCAAUUAAAAGAACUUUUUAUUUAACAUUAUACAUAAUUAGGCUGAGGUAGGAUGAAACAAACUCAUACCCAAAAUCACCCCGAAUCAAUCUCGGGUUUUAAAAAAUUUCUCAAAUUCAAGAUGAGACAAAAUCAUAUCCAAAACUAUCUCGAAUCCAUCCUAGAUUUUAAAAAUUUUCUCAAAUUUAUCUAAACUCGUUUAUCAUUAUCUCAAAACGAGCCCAUUAAGGGUAGGACGAGUACUAAAUAAAAUUGGUAUAUUAUCAUCCCUAAUCAAGAUCCUAAAAUUUUUCUUUAUGAUAAUGAAAACAACAAUCAUAGUCGUCAUCUCUCUAUCAGUUUACUUGUUAGGUUUGAUCAAAUACACCUUAUGUGUUGCCUUUGGGCAACCUAGCUCUCUCAAUCAUUGUCUAAAGUUCGGGUGUUUGUUUAUUUUUUUAAUUCAUUUUGUCUUAAGUUUUUUAUUAUUAAAUAAAAUUUCUUUUUGUUACUUUAAACACCUCUAAUAAUUAUACUUUUUAUUUUUUAUAUUUAUAUUUAUCAAGUUUAUAACUGUAAAAUUUAUAAAAAUGUUAGUUUUUUGUUUUUAAAAAUAAUAAAAAGUGAUAUUUAAAGGGUCAAGUGGGCCAGCAUGAUGGCACGAUGGGUUGUUUCCUUAGGCCCACCACGACCCGCUCCUUUGGGCCAUGCCGGCCUGACUCGGUCUUUUGGCGCACUUGGCCACAGGCCAAAAUGGGUGGCUCGACCCAUUGGACACCUCUAGUAGUUACAUGUCUAGCAUCCAAACGUUAGACCAGAUGAGUUUUGUCAAACCCAACCCAUUCAUCCCCUUUGCCUCAUGUUGGCCACCCGGUUCGGACCAGCCUUGACAUGAACGGCAAGGUCCAAUGGAUUAGGUUGAUUUAGGGUCUCGAUUAUUUUUGUUUAAAUAAAUUGCAAAGAAAAAAAAAACUUGGUUUGGAUAAAUAAAUUUCAAUUGUUUUUAAAAUAGGUUUUUAUUUUAUUUUUUGUAAAAUUUUUUAUAAAUUCAAUUUAUACAAUAUUAAUUAUAUGUAAUUGAAGUCUUAUUAAAGAUUUUUUAAAAAAUAGUUUUUAAAUUAAAGAUAAAUUAAAAAAAAUCAUAAAAUAUGAAAUUAAUAUUAUAAUAAAAUCAUAAAUUAUGGUUUUUAUUUAAAAUGAUACUAUUUUAAGAUAUGAUUUAUUUAUUUUUAUAAGAAUGAAUAAUACUAAUUUUAAAAUAAUAAAAGGGUGAUAUAUUUUAUUUGAAAUAAAUUUAAAAAUAAAUAAAUUUUAUUUUUUUAAUACGUAAAUAAGUCAUGUUUUUCAUUAUAUCUACACCCGAGAAUUUAAACUUGACCCAAACUUCAACUAAAAAGACCUAUAUCCAACACAGUUAUUAGAGGUGUCCAAUGGGUCGUGUCGGGCCAACACAAUCCGAUGUUUAUCAGGCCAAUGCGUUGGCUCGACCCAUGCAAGCCAAAUAGGUGGCUUGACAUGGCCCAUAAGCCCAUGUGCUAAUCAUGUCGUGUUGUGCCAUGCCGGUGAGUCGUGCCCCAUGGGCACACACUUUAUUAAAAAUUUUAAUUAAUUUUUUUUAAUUCAUUUUGACUUAAGUUUUUUUAUUAUUAAAUAAAAUUUCUUUUUGUUACUUUAAACACCUCUAAUAAUUAUACUUUUUUAUUUUUUAUACACUUCUAAUAAUUAUACUUUUUUUUUAUAUUUAUAUUUAUCAAGUUUAUAACUGUAAAAUUUAUAAAAAUGUUAGUUUUUUGUUUUUAAAAAUAAUAAAAAGUGAUAUUUAAAGGGUUAAGUGGGCCAGCAUGAUGGCACGAUGGGUUGUUUCCUUAGGCCCACCACGACCCGCUCCUUUGGGCCAUGCCAGCUUGACUCGGUCUUUUGGCGCACUAGGCCACAGGCUAAAAUGGGUGGCUCGACCCAUUGGACACCUCUAGUAGUUACAUGUCUAGCAUCCAAACGUUAGACCGGGUGAGUUUUGUCAAACCCAACCCAUUCAUCCCCUUUGCUUCAUGUUGGCCACUCGGUUCAGACAUUGGGUUGAUUUGGGGUCUCGGUUCUUUUUGUUUAAAUAAAUUGCAAAGAAAAAAAAAACUUGGUUUGGAUAAAUAAACUUCAGUUGUGUUUAAAAUAAGUUUUUAUUUGAUUUUUUGUAAAAAAAAUUAUAAAUUCAAUUUAUACAAUAUUAAUUAUAUUUAAUUGAAGUCUUAUUAAAGAUUUUUUUAAAAAUAGUUUUUAAAUUAAAGAUAAAUUAAAAAAAUUCGUAAAAUAUGAAAUUAAUAUUAUAAUAAAAUCAUAAAUUAUGAUUUUUAUUUAAAAUGAUACUAUUUUAAGAUAUGAUUGAUUUAUUUAUUUAUUUAUUUUGAUAAGAAUGAAUAAUACUAAUUUUAAAAUAAUAACAGGGUGAUAUUUUAUUUGAAAUAAAUUUAAAAAUAAAUAAAAUUUAUUUUUUUUAAUACGUAAAUAAGUGAAGUUUUUCAUUAUAUCUACACCUGAGAAUUUAAUCAAGGAUAUAGUAUUUUGAACUAGUUUUGAGUCAUUCCUAUAAGCUUCAUUCAGUCAUUAUGGUUUAGACAAUUGAUAAUUAAUCUGUUGGCAUAAUUGAUUCUGCAAAACAGUAUCCUGAAUUUAGUAUCGAGGGAGGCAGAAACACAGCGAGAGAGAGAGAGAGAGAGAGAUGAUGCUUAACAAACAGACUGCAGACUGCUUUAUUGUAGUAAUAUGCCCAAAGUCCACACUAGAAGAGUUACAACCAGACCCUCUUAUUAUACCAUGUUUGUUACAAUGAGGGAAUUGAACAUCAUGAAUCGUCAUUCAAGCAAGGAAAUCAAAGGUUGACAGCUUAUUCUUUUUCUAUAUUUCCCCACUAGAAUCGUGCUUGAAGGUAUUCAACCACCCUCUUGUCCAACUGGAAGGCCCUUGCCAGGAAAUCAGGAUUGAUGGGUGGAUUUGAUCCAAACAUUGAACUGGCUAUGGUGAUUACACCUGGAUUUUGGCUGUUAAAAACGGCAAUGGCUACUGCAUUAGUGUGCCCAAUGUUGACUUGGAAGUGAAUGAGACUGAAAGGGAACACAAAAACAUCCCCCUUGUUCAGGACUUUGCUAAUGAAGCGGUGUUCAGGGUUGGAUGUGAUAAAGCCAACAAAGAGUUUUCCCUCCAAGACAAUGAAGAUCUCACUGGCACGAGGGUGAAAGUGAGGAGGGUUUUGACCAUUAGGUUCAUAAUCGAUACGAGACAGUGACACCCCAAGAGUGUUUUCUCCUGGUAAUUGAUCAACAUUUAUAAGAUUGACAAUUGAGCCCACAUAAUUUGAUGUGUUUCCUGGAAUAUUCAGCCCUUGAUACAAGAAAUCCUCGGCCACGGUCAGGUUUGGGUUCUUGCAGAACUUCCCAUUUACAAAUACUGCAUGAAGAAGGAAAAAAGAAAAGAUGUAUCCUUAGUAUCAAACCAUACUCACCAUAUCAAUAAAAAGAGUAGUACUGAAAAUAGCUAUAACAUCAUUGGUUACAAUAGAAAUACCAGCAUUCUUGGGCUCAUCAACUGCAACACAGGUGUCUUCCAGUGGGCUUGGAUCAUAGGCAGAGGCAAGAAACGAAGCCAAUGCCAUGAGGGCCACAGUUACCAUGAAACUAACGCCUUUCUUUAUUGUUAGAGUACUGUCUCCAACAAUCCCAAUCUUUAUCUUUCGGCGGGGAUAAUAAAUUUAGCCUGGAAAAGAUGUUAAUUUAUAGACCAGAGUCGGUGAGUUAGUCUUUGCAUAAACUCACCAAGUCUUCAAUGGGAAGUUUUUUCUUCUUUCUUUUUUCACUUUCGAGGACAAGCGGUUGCACCAAUACGUGUUGAUUUACGUAGGAUUAGUCAGUGUAUAGAUCUUAACCAGAAUAUAAAGCAAUGUACAAUCAGGUGGAGGCAGGUCCAAUUUAAUAUCAAUCUGCAUGAUCCAUACGUUUACAUUUAUAGUAGAGCUUUCUGCUCUUUUAGUAGUGUAUAGACAAGCAAAUAGAAGAUUACAGAGUAGGUGCCAGCUUGGAGUAUACAAUGACCCGCCCAUAUCAAACAUGGUUACUCCAUGAGGCUUGUGUAGGUUCAGUUUAAUGAGUAUCUAUAUAGCUUAAUUCACCAUUCAAAGUGUUGAGAGAUUGGCUGAUGAGAUUAAAUAUGUAGCCAAGUUCUGAGUUUCUAGCUCAUGUGCCUUCCACUGAGUGAAAAGUCCUUGGAUAAGCUCUGGCUUUCUGCUAUACGCUCAUUAGGCUUUCCUCAGUUACAAAAGCUUUGACUAUGAUUUUUACGCUUGUAGCCUUCGCUGUCUGAGCGGUUUCUAAGACUUUUUAAUUAGUUGCUUCUAAGUUGUCUUUAACAAGCAAGUCCGUAUUUUCUGGCGAGAAGCAAGAAAAUACCAAUUGAUUAGAUGAAGUCCUUCGACUAAUCUAUGCCCUAUACGUAAGGUAAUUAAGCAGUUACACUUUCCAAAUCUUCAAUGGAUGUCAUUUUUCGAAUUGAAAGGUUGAACUUCCUCAAGUUAUGCUCUAGACUCUAGAAUGAAUUCUACAUAAUCUUCGGUUUUAGGCCUUAUUCCUAGUUUAAAGCUAAGAAGUAAACCAGUGGACAGACCAUCUGUAAUCAGAUUGUGAUUAGUGUCAUGACCCAUUAGAUCUUUAUAAGAAGUUGGCCAUGGUUCAAAGUCACGGUAUCCGUCACCAAAUCGGUAAGUCCCGAGGUACAUCAGUUUCAACGUCACGGAUCGAUAUCGGAUGAUACGCAAAAAUUUAUAGUUUAAAAGCUCAAAACAAUUUAAAAAGAUUACAAAAAUAAAUACAAAUAAAUAAAGUUAAAAAUUAAGAAAUAAAAUUUUAUUAUGUAUAAAAUUAUUCAAAUUAUGAUAAAACAUACCUUUGUAAUGAUUUAUAAAAAUAUUAAAACUAUAAAAAAAAUAAUUUAAUCACUUAAUAUUAAAUAUGCAUCAUUAAAGAUGAAAAUAAUAAAAAGUGAAUUUAUAGUUUAUAAUUUUUUUAAAAUUAAAUAUUUUGAAUUUUUUAAAAAUAUUUUCAAUAUUUAAAAAAAUACAUCUAGGAAUCAUCUUUGAAAAAAAUAAACAUCAUUUUUCUUAUCAAAUGUAUUCUAAAUAAAACAAUUAUAAAAAUAAAGAAUUUUUAUUUGAAUGAGCAUAUUUGAAUAUAAUAUAUUUUUUCUAUACAUCUAUUCAUUUGAAUUGAAUUUUUAUAUUAAUAUUCAUUUCCUUUUUUAUUCAUGUAAACCUAAAUAUUCAUUAUUAAUGUACCAUAAUCCUAAUUCCCAUCAAAUUUGCAUUAUCCAUUUAAAUACAAUUAUUCACAACAUAUUCAUUAACUACUUAAAAAACAAAUACCCACCCAAAUUUGUAAUCCUAUCAAAUACCCAUAACCCAUUGGCAAACACGUAUUUCCUUUUUUUGGCACAAUACCCAUUUUCUCUCUAAAACAACACUUUGAGCUCUCUAUUUCUUUGCACAAUACCUAUAUUUGAAGGCUAAAAAAAUAGGCCUACAAAGAUACAAAAGGAUGGAGCUAGAAAUACAAGGAUGAAGAUGCACAAGGUUUGAAGACUCUAUACUCUCCACACUUCUUCACUUUCAUAUGUUUCCAUCAUCUUCUUUCAUCCACUAUUUUCGCUCCUAUAUUACCAUUUUUUCCCAUCACCCAUCACCCGAAGAGCUUAGUUUGAAUAUAAUCUUGGGGUUAUCUCAAAGUUUCUUUGUGAUUCAACAAGUUUUUUCAUGAGUCAACCAAAUAUUAGACUCAGGUAUCGGUUCAGUACUAGUCAUGGACAAGAUUUUAACCCUGUUUGAGCUCUCUAUUUCUUUGUACAAUACCAAUUUUUAAAGGCUCACAAAAUAACCCUAUGAAAAUACAAGAGGAUAGAGAUGCAAAUACAGGGAUGAAGAUGCAAAAGGUUUGAAGACUUUGAACUCUCCAUAUUCUUCGGUUUCAUGGGUUUCAAUCUUCUUCUCUCAUCAACUAUUUCUGCUCCAAUAUUACCAUUUUUUUCCAUCACCCAUGACCUGAAGAGCUUAGCUUGGACAUAAUCUUAGGGAUAUCUCAAAGUUUCUUUGUGAUUUAACAAGUUUAUUCAUGAUUCAACCAAAUAUUGGACUCGGAUAUCGGUCCGAUACCGAUCAUGGCUGAGGCAUAUAUGAAUCGGUUGAGUCGUACCGGUCUCGACCGAGAUUUUGAACCUUGUUUGAGCUUUCUAUUUCUUUGCACAAUACUAAUUUUUGAAGCCUUAUAAAAUAGCCCUACGAAGAUAUAAGAGGAUGAAGAUGCAAAUACAAGGAUGAAUAUGCAAAGGGUUUGAAGACUUUGAACUCUCCAUACUUCUUCACUACCAUAGGUUUCAAUCUUCUUCUCUCAUCCACCAUUUCCAUUCCAAUAUUACCAUUUUUUUUUCCAUCACCCAUCACUCAAAGAGCUUAGUUUGGACAUAAUCUUGGGGUUAUCUCAAAGUUUCUUUAUGAUUCAACAAGUUUAGUCAUGAGUCAACUAAAUAUUGGACUUGGGUAUCAGUCUGAUACUAGUCAUGACCAAGAUUUUGAACCCUUUUUGAGCUCUCUAUUUCUCUACAUAAUACCCAUUUUUGAAUGCUCACAAAAUAACCCUACAAAGAUACAAGAUGAUAGAGAUGCAAAUACAAGGAUGAAGAUGCAAAGGGUUUGAAGACUCUAAACUCUCCAUACUUCUUCACUUUCAUAGGUUUCGAUCUUCUUCUCUCAUCCGCCAUUUCAACUCCAAUAUUACCAUUUUUUUCCAUGACCUAUCACUCGAAGAGCUUAUUUUGGACAUAAUCUUGGGGUUAUCUCAAAGUUUCUUUUUUAUUCAACAAGUUUAUUCAUGAGUCAACCAAAUAUUGGACUUGAGUAUUAGUUCGGUACUGGUCAUGGCCGAGGUGGAUAUGACUUGGCCAAGUCAUACUGGUCUCAAUCGAGAUUUUGAACCCUAUUUGAACUCUCUAUUUCUUUGCACAGUACCCAUUUUUUAAGGCUAACAAAUUAGCCCUACGAAGAUAUAAGAGGAUUGAGAUGCAAAUAAAGAAAUGAAGAUGCAAAGGGUUUGAAGACUCUAAACUCUUCAUACUUUUUCACUUUCAUGGGUUUCAAUCGUCUUAUCUCAUCCACCAUUUUCGCUCCAAUAUUACAAUUUUUUUCCAUCACCCAUCACCCAAAAAGCUUAGUUUGAACAUAAUCUUGGAGUUAUCUCAAAGUUUAUUUUUUAUUCAACAAGUUUAUUCAUGAGUAAACCAAAUAUUGGACUCAAGUAUCAAUUCAAUAUCAAUCAUGGUUGAGGCGGAUAUGACUCGAACAAGUUGUACUUGUCUCAACCGAGAUUAUGAACCCUAUUUGAGCUCUCUAUUUAUCUCUACAAUACCCAUUUUUGAAGGCUUACAAAAUAGUCCUACGAAGAUACAAGAUGAUGGAGAUGCAAAUACAAGGAUGAAAAUCCAAAGAGUUUGAAGACUCUGAACUCUCCAUAUUUUUUCACUUUCAUGAGUUUUGAUUUUCUUCUCUUAUCUGCCAUUUCCGCUCCAAUAUUACCAUUUUUUCCAUUACCCAUCACUUGAAGAGCUUAGUUUGGACAUAAUAUUAAGGUUAUCUCAAAUUUUCUUUGUGAUUCAACAAGUUUAUUCAUAAGUCAGCCAAAUAUUGGACUUGGGUAUCUGUUCGAUACUAGUCAUAUAUGGUAGAGGCGGAUAUGACUCAACCAAGUUGUACUAGUCUCAACUAAGAUUUUGAACCCUAUUUGAGCUCUCUAUUUCUCUGUACAAUACCCAUUUUAAAGGCUCACAAAAUAGCCCUACCAAGAUACAAGAUAAUGAAGAUGCAAAUAUUACUCAUUGAAUAUCUAGCAAUAAUUGGUUUAUUUUUUAUUUUUGAAUUAUUUUUUAAAAUUAAAUAUCUAUUAAUGAAACAAAAAUACUAAUGAUUAAUACCAAAAAGUGCUAUUUUGUAGAUCUAAUUAUAAUGGUUUUAAGCACCUUUGAGUAGUAAUCAUAUUCAUUUAACCCAAUUAAUUCAUUAAGGUCCUUAGUAAUUGGUUUUAACCAUUUUGUGGCAAGUUUACAUGUUUUUAUCAGCUUAUGAAUCAAUUCAAGCAUGCCAAAUGAUGGAGGAGCUACUUAGACAAGUUAAAGCAAGGAUUUUGGAAGUUUACAGGCUUGAAUUUCAAGUGGAAACACGAGCACAAGCAAUGGAGAAGAGGAAAACAGAGUGAAGAAAACAGAGGACAGCAGCUGCAGUCUUCUUUUGCACUUUUGGAGCACUUCCCGAAGUCCAUUUUCUACAUUCUAUAUACCAUUUCAAAGCUCAGGAAGUCAAUAAUCCAAUGCUUCAAACGGUGCGUGAUUCGGAGUUGAAACGAAGGAGUUACAGCCAUUGCAAUCAGAUCACUCCAAGCUGCUGCGAAAUCAGCCUUUUGUUGCGAGAAUUUCGCAGCCUUUUUGUACAGUGCAAUGGAAUUCCUCCUGAAGCUACCCGAUAUAUGCUGCAAGCUGGAAUGCUGAGAACCUCAAGGUGGAAGCCAACUUCGCAGCCCUGCGAAGAUAGCUUGGUGUUGCGAAAUUAUUUCGCAACCCUCUUGAGUGUCUGCGAAAUCUCGCAGACCUCGUUUUCACCUGCGAAAUGUCCUUAGUGCUUCCUGAUAUUUGUGCACCGACUCUUUUGGAUAUUUUUCUUCAGAUAUUUUUGUAUAAAUUUCCAUUUUCUCCUUGUUUUCAGCCACUCAUGUAAUUCCUUAGCUAGGAAGUNNNNNNNNNNNNNNNNNNNNNNNNNNNNNNNNNNNNNNNNNNNNNNNNNNNNNNNNNNNNNNNNNNNNNNNNNNNNNNNNNNNNNNNNNNNNNNNNNNNNGAGAGAGAUUUAGUGUUUGAACCCAUUAAUGGGAAGCAUCUGUACAACACCGGUUGGAGAAGGAACUAUAGGUUAAUUCUCUAAGGCGAGGAAAAAAAACAAGUGACCGGAACUCCCUUUUUGUAUGAGGAACCUGAGCCUAGUGAUCUGAACUCCAAGAAACACUUUUCUUUGUAAGUAAAAUCAGUUACUAUUUUUGGUUAGCUUAAAACCAAACCUUUUUCAUUCAAACAUCUUUAUGUUUUCUUAAGCUAACCUUGAAAUGAAAAGGCACCAAUUCAGCUUUGAAUUAAUAUCAUUUGUGAAGUGAAAACCCAUCCCAGUGGACGAUCCUAGAGCCACUAUGCUAUAGUAGCUUUGUCUUUGCUACCCUAGUAUAUGGUGUAAUAGGUUAUAAAUUUUGUUGAUUACUCCCUCAAUCAAGGAGCACCAGCUGGACACGAAUCAGCUGAGACACCAAUUGGGCACGAAUCAACUAACUCUUUCUUGAUUUUCUUCUCUCAUCCACCAUAUCCGCUCCAAUAUUGCCAUUUUUUCCAUCACCCAUCACCCUAAGAGCUUAGUUUGGAUAUAAUCUUAGGGUUAUCUCAAAGUUUCUUUUUUAUUCAACAAGUUUAUUCAUGAGUUAACCAAAUAUUGGACUCGGGUAUUAGUUCGGUACCGGUCAUGGCCAAGGUGAAUAUGACUUGGCCGAGUCAUACCAGUCUCAAUUGAGAUUUUGAACCUUGUUUGAACUCUCUAUUUCUUUGCACAAUACCCAUUUUUUAAGGCUAACAAAAUACCCUAACAAAGAUACAAGAGGAUUGAGAUGCAAAUAUAGGAAUGAAGAUGAAAAGGGUUUGAAGAGUCUAAACUCUUCAUACUUUUCCACUUUCAUGGGUUUCAAUCUUCUUCUCUCAUCCACCAUUUUUGCUCUGGUAUUACUAUUUUUUUUCCAUCACCCAUCAUCCAAAAAGCUUAGUUUGGACAUAAUCUUGGAGUUAUCUCAAAGUUUCUUUUUUUAUUCAACAAAUUUAUUCAUGAGUCAACCAAAUAUUGGACUAGAGUAUCGAUCCGAUACUGAUAAUGGCUGAGGCGGAUAUGACACGAUCAAGUCGUACGAGUCUUAACCGAGAUUAUGAACCCUGUUUGAGUUCUCUAUUUCUAUACACAAUACCCAUAUUUGAAGGCUCACAAAAUAGUCCUACGAAGAUACAAGAUGAUGGAGAUGCAAACACAUGGAUGAAAAUCCAAAGCGUUUGAAGGCUCUGAACUCUCCAUAUUUCUUCGCUUUCAUGGGUUUCGAUCUUUUUCUCUCAUCCACCAUUUUCGCUCCAAUAUUACCAUUUUUUCCAUUACCCAUCACGCAAAGAGCUUAGUUUGGACAUAAUAUUAUGGUUAUCUCAAAUUUUCUUCAUGAUNNNNNNNNNNNNNNNNNNNNNNNNNNNNNNNNNNNNNNNNNNNNNNNNNNNNNNNNNNNNNNNNNNNNNNNNNNNNNNNNNNNNNNNNNNNNNNNNNNNNAAGAGCUUAGUUUGGACAUAAUAUUAUGGUUAUCUCAAAUUUUCUUCAUGAUUCAACAAAUUUAUUCACAAGUCAACCAAAUAUUGGACUUGGGUAUCAGUCCGAUACUAGUCAUGGUGGAGGCAGAUAUGACUCGGUUGAGUCGUACCAAUCUCGACUAAGAUUGUGAACCCUGUUUGAACUCUCUAUUUCUUUGUACAAUAUCCAUUUUGAAGGCUCACAAAAUAGCCCUACCAAGAUACAAGACGAUGGGGAUGCAAAUAUUACUCCUUGAAUUACUGGCAAUAAUUAGUUUAUUUUUUUAAUUUUGAACUAUUUUUUAAAAUUAAAUAUUUGUUAAUGAAACAAAAGCACUAACUCUUUCUUGAUUUGGAGUUUAUUUGUUGAAUGAAAAUUUUUGGAUAAUUAUGGUUUUGCGCAUAAGAGAAAUAAUGAACCAAUUGUUGUUCAUAAAUUCAUAAAAUUGGAUUAGCAUUUGAGUUUCAAAUUAUUUUUAAAAGUGCUUACAUUCAUUAAUGAAUCUAAUACACUAAGUUCCUCUUUGGGAUGAAUUUUGAAUGAGGCUAAAAGCUUUUCCUAACACUAGAAAGCAAUCUUAAAAAAAUGGUUGAAAAUCACUUUUAAAAAUCUAAAUAAUGACAUGAUUCUUCGAACUAUCACAUUUUUGUUAUAUUAUACAUUGCCAAAACAUUCUCUGAACAUAUUUUAAAAAAAAUUUAUAAUAUGCAUUUCCUACAAAGCAAUCUUAAAAAUAUAUAUAUAUAUAUAUCAUCAAUAAUUAGAUUAUGGUGUGAUAGUGAUUUUAGCAAUUGUUUUUAGCCUUUUUAAUACUUUAAAAAUAACAGCAGUGAAUUUAGGAAACGUUUCUAGCUUUUUUAACGCUUGAAUGAUAUAAAUUUUCAAGUAUUAGAAAAGUUAAAAAUGUUUCCUAAAAUCACUACUAAACAGGCUUUAAUCAGUAGUAGUAAUUAAUUGGUAUUGAAUAACUGUAAUGCAGUUUCCUGAAUGUAGUAUUGAGGGAGAGAGAAACAGAGAGGAAGAGAGAGAUGCUUAACAAACAAAUUGCUUUAUUGUAGUAAUAUGCCCAAAGUUCACACCAGAAGAGUUACAACUAGACCCUCUUAUCAUACUAGGAUUGUUAUAACGAGGGAAUUGAACAUCAUAAAUAGUCAUUCAAGCAAGGAAAUGAAAGGUUGAUAGCUUCUUCUUUUUCUAUAUUCCCCCACUAGAAUCGUGCUUGAAGGUAUUCAACCACCUUCUUGUCCAACUGGAAGGCCCUUGCAAGGAAAUCAGGAUUGAUGGGUGGAUUUGAUCCAAACACUGCAUUGGCUAUGGUGAUUACACCUGGAUUUUGGCUGUUCAGACCAGCAAUGGCUACUGCAUUAGUGUGCCCAAUGUUGAAUUGGAAGUGAAUGAGACCGAUAGGGAACACAAAAACAUCCCCUUUGUUGAGGACUUUGCUAAUGAAUCGGUUUUGAGGGUUGGAUGUGACAAAGCCAACUAAGAGUGUUCCCUCCAAAACAGUGAGGAUCUCACUGGCACGGGGGUGAAUGUGAGGAGGGUUUUGACCAUAGGGUGCAUAAUUGAUACGAACCAGUGAUAUCCCAAGAGUGUUUUGUCCCGGUAGUACAUCAACAUUUAUAAUAGUGACAUUUGAGCCCACUAGAUUUGCUGUGUUUCCUGGAAUAUUCAGCCCUUGAUACAAGAAAUCGUCAGCCACGGUCAGGUUUGGGUUCUUGCAGAACUUUCCAUUUACAAAUAC
RNAcentral lists this long non-coding RNA (45526 nucleotides) under Vitis vinifera (wine grape). RNAcentral's name for it is "long non-coding RNA (VVIN_LNC004463)". The record is from RNAcentral. Lineage: Eukaryota; Viridiplantae; Streptophyta; Magnoliopsida; Vitales; Vitaceae.